This 60282-nucleotide long non-coding RNA is filed under the name Lathyrus oleraceus (garden pea). RNAcentral's name for it is "Pisum sativum (pea) long non-coding RNA (PSAT_LNC030771)". The stretch from base 51488 to 51587 matches the Rfam family "Plant small nucleolar RNA R71". The record is from RNAcentral. Lineage: Eukaryota; Viridiplantae; Streptophyta; Magnoliopsida; Fabales; Fabaceae.
AACCAAUGAUUCAAAAUCAACAUAACGAGAUCCCGACAUCAUUUAGUCGAAGCAUCAUAGUAUUGAAACAAAUAUUUAGAGAGAAAAAUCUUUAUUCAUAAUAGCUCACAAAAAUUACAUUUGCAUUACAUACACAACACAACACAACAUCAAUACAUACAUGAUCCAUUACAUACGCAUAUAUUAAACAAAUUGAAAAAUAAAUAAAAAAAGAAGAAGAAGUGAAAUUGUUUGUGUCACGAGCUUCAGCCUUGCAACUAUGUCAUUUUCAUCAUACCAUCUUCAUUCUCGGAUAAUCCUGCAUCAAGUUACAUCCAUCAAUAAACAAAUUAAAAGUGAAGCCGCCUUUAUUCGCGUUUAUUUGGUCUUUGGUUUGUUGGAGCAUUUGAAAUGCGAGAAAUAAUUUGGUUUUUAAACAUUCCAUUUGGAAUGUGGUAGAGAUUUUAUUGAUUAUUAAAUCUGUUGGGUGGGAUUGGAAUUCGCGUUUAUUUGGUCUUUGGUUUGUUGGAGCAUUUGAAAUGCGAGAAAUAAUUUGGUUUUUAAACAUUCCAUUUGGAAUGUGGUAGAGAUUUUAUUGAUUAUUAAAUCUGUUGGGUGGGAUUGGAUUUCUAUUUUGUCUAAGGGGAGUAUAGAUAUUAAUAGAGAAUUAUGGUUUGAUAAUCCUGCAUGUUUCAUUGGAUUAUAACUUUUCCCUUUGAAUUGGGUUGCACCCCUUGUGCGUUUUAAUACAAGUGUUUAUCAAAAAAAAUAAACAAAUUAAAAAAAAAUAUGAAAAUGUUUUGGGACUUGAAGGACAGGAGCUCCUAAUUUGCACCAACAUGGUUUCAUCAACAUCCAUAACAUCAUUAUCACACCAACAUCAUUCACAAAUAUACAUCAAAAUAAAUUGAAAAUUCAAAAAAAGGAAAUGACAUGAAACACAUGGAAAACUCGUGCAGUGUCAUCAACAUACAUCAAUCAUUCAUCAUCCCAUCACAUGACAUACAAACCUCACGCAACUCAUGCUCUCAGUCACAAUUUUUUCACCCUUCAAACUCCCUCAAAAAUCACUCAAUCUCACCUCUUUUCCCCCUCAAAAGCUUCUCACGAGGAUCACCACCUCAUCCAAAUUCGUCCCUAUAAAUAAACCUCAUUGCUCACUCUCUAAAACACACAAGAAUCUCUAUUAAAUCCCUGCACAAAUAUCUCCCAAAGCCCCAACAAACCUCUGCUCAAAUCUAGGCUCACCUUCAACACUUGCUGAAAGCCAACAAAGAUAGAAUCGGAGAAAGAAGUUCAGGAUGAAAAGAGACAAAGAAGUAGUGGGGAUAAGACAUGCCUGAAGGUAGCGAAGACCGCCAGAGUUCUCUCCGGAAACUCUGUUUCUGGCGAGGUGCUUCUUUCCACUUUUCAUGAUCACUUUACCUUCCUUGUUGCACUUUCAUUGUUAAUUUUAUCUCUUUUGUUGUAAAUAUGUGUAAUCGUGAUGAAUUAAUGAGAAUUUGGGGAUAAAGUUAAAUUUGGGGGAAUGGCAUUUUGUUUGUUUGAUUGAGAUUUUGUUCAAAUUGAUGCUAGAUUCGGUUUCAGAGAGGAAAACCGAUUGAAGUUUAUGUUGUGAGUUUUCGCGUUUGAUGUGGUUUGGGAAAAUAUGGACAACUGAUGAACACCUUCAUGGUGUUCAUCAUAUUCUGUUCAUAGGUUUUUGGCUUUUGAUCCGUUUAAGAAGAAAAAUGAAGUUUGAAAAUUGUUUGUGAGAGAGAGAAGAGAGAACGUCGAGUGAGGAGAGAGAAGGAGAAGUCAAUUGUGAAUUUCUCAUGUGCUACUUCCUUUUUUUUCUUAUUUUCAUCACAAUCUCACUCCCUUGGCCACACGUGGCCUAGCCGCUAACCAUUGGAUCAUUUGACCUGGUCUUCAUUGACUUGCAUCCCAUGUGGAUACCCCACCCCAUUUACCACGCGUCUGCUUAAAACUCUCCCUUUGAUCUUGUGAUGGCAUGAUCUGGUGUAUGAGGUUGACUCAACACAUGUUGACUCCCUCAUCCCUUUGAUUGGGCUUACUACGCGUUUGGGCCUUCUCUAGCCUAGGGGCCUCUUUGUUUCCAGCACCCCUUUUUAUUUUAAUCUCUAUCUUUUUUUAUUUUAUUAUUGUGUGUUAUUUUUGUUGGGCCUUGGCUCGUUGUUUUGCUACUUGCAUAUACUCCUCAUAUUUAUUACACCUCACCCCUCUUUCAUUUAUUUUCUUUUACCAUUUAUUUAUUUUAUUAAUUAAUCUAAUUUAUUAAAUAAAUAUUUGAUAAUUAAAAUAAAUAUUUUAGAAUUAAAAAAAACAUUGAUCUAAAGUCAAGUGACCUUUUCAAAAAUUCAUCAUCUUUCGAUCGAUUCCAAAUCAACGCAAAUCAAACCUUGAUCCAUAUCAUGAUCAUUUUCAAAACCAAAAUAAAACACCUAAUUAUUUUCAAACACCUUUCACAAAUAAGAUGAAAAAGGAACAGUUUAGUGUCUACCACUCUUUUCCUCGAUUGUUUGGAUACGAGUCGUAUAGCUUGAUCAUUUGAGCAUUCGUCAUCCGUUUAAAACUCUCAACUCAAUUCAUAUUGAACCUCUUUCAUGAUAAAAUCUUGAGAAUCUCAUGAUAAAAUCUUGAGAAUCUCAUUUUUCAUAAUAACUCAGACGAAAAAGGAAUAAUUAGGUGUAUACCUCUUUCUUCCCCGCAUACUUGGAUAUGAGCUGUAUAGCUUGACCAUUCGAGUAUUCAUCUUCCAUUCAAAGAACCUUAAUCAUAUCUAACCCUUUCAUAAUUAUUUGGGUGAAAAAGGAACAAUUUGAUAUAUACCACUCUUUUUCCCAAUUGUUUGGAUACGAGCCGUAUAGCUCGACCAUCCGAGCAUUCGUCAUCCACUCAAAAACAAACUUCAACCAAUCAAACUUAUCCUUUCUUGCCCGCGUGCGAUCAAAAUCUUUUCUAAAACCAAGCACGGUUUAGUCCAUUCUACCGCGAUACAAACAAAUGCUUAAGACUCCAAUUAUAAGCACACGAACAAUUUUUAACCGUUAGAAUAUAACCUAAACAUUCGUUCACUAAAAUCAACCAACAAAUACGUGGUUUUCUCCCAAGAACUAUGUAGCUUUGAGUUCUCCAUCGUACCCGGGAUAUGUAGGAGCGAGAUUUAACGUCUCGUCAAACACUAUAACCCAAAACCCAAAAAUAUCCUUUAUCUUUCCAGAACUACGUAACUUUGAAUUCUCAUCGCACCUGAGGAUACGUAGGAGCGAGACUCACAAUCUUGUCAAACACCCUAAUAAAAACCUAUUUUUGCGACCUUUUAUUUUUCCUUUUAAACUUUUAAUAACAACAAGAAGAAAAAUAACAUUAAACUAACAUUCAAUUUGAAAAUAUAACUAAAUGGUUUCCGUUGAGCACAACGGAUACGAGGGGUGCUAAUACCUUCCCUUGCAUAAUGGAUUCCUAAACCCGAAUUUGGUUGCGAUUAUUUUCUUUGAUUUUAAGGGUUUUAUCGAGAUUUUCCCUUUCCUUUUGGAACAAAUAAAGUUUGAUGGUGACUCUGUUAUCAUCUCGAGCAUGCGUGCGCUCCCGGUAUUUUUCGCACCGUAACAACUAGCAACUCUAUUGGGGAAACACUUCAUCUAGAUAGUCAAGCCUAAUUUGGUUAACUUUACGAUUAAAAUGUUGGCAUUGUUUUCGUCCAUCUGUUUUAUCUUUUAUGUUCUACUACUGUUUCUUGUUCAUAUGUUAUGAACGAGAUUCUCUAAUUAUUGAUACUGUGUGAGAUAGGCUCUACUCUCGAGUCUGAGAAGAACCUUAAGUUUAAGAUGGUGGUUCUGUAGUAUUGGCCCGUGAGAUGUAUGCCUCGUUGGGAUGAUACGAAGACCCCGCCUAAAGUAGACCCUCUUGGAGGUAUUGUUAUCUGAUGAGUAUUCGUCGAGGAUGAAAUAUUUUCAAAUAUGAUCAAUGACUCCAGGGACUUUUUUAUAACCUUGGAAUCGAUGGUUGUGGGGCAUUGACCUGCGAGGUGUAUGCCUCAUAGGGUUGAUACGAAAAUAUCACCUAGAAUAGAUCGUCUUGAUGGUAUUAUUGUCUGAUGAGGCUUUGUCAAGGCGGAGAUAUUCUCAAGCAGAGUUCAUGACUCUGGGAACGUACAACCAUAAAGCCUACACAUGGGGUUUCACUAAUCAAGGAUACCUGUACUUUUGAUAUGAUUGACCAAACCAAGAUAUACUCGUGAUCCUGAGCCAAUCAUAUGCAUUACAUUCCCCUAAAAAAACAUUUAGCAUUUGCAUUUUUGUUGUUAGGGAAUAUAAAAGACUACAAUUAUUGUAAGCAUUCAAGAGUAUGAGAUCAGACAGAAGAAAUACAUACUCCUUCACAUUCAAAUCUCAUAAUCUGGAUAAUUUUCUGUCAACAAGAUUGACUUUGGGGCAGAGCAUGGGAAUCUCCUCAGACUUUUAAUUAAUGAAGUAGAUCCACUAACAGUCUUGACCCUGGAUCAGUUCUACGACCCUCCGUUGAGGUGCUUCACUUUCCAAGAUUUACAAAUAGCCCCCACAUUAGAAGAAUUUAAGCAUAUUGUGGGAAUCAACAUGAAGACCAAGCUUCCUUUCUUUGGUUAAGAAGAACUUCCUAAGCAUAAGGUUAUAGUUGUUGCUCUACACAUACACAAGAGAUAUGCGACCCCCAACCUAGAGACCAAGGGAAAUACCCAGGGUUUCUAAAUCAAGUUCUUAGUAGAGAAAUUUUCUACCUUUGCUGAUGCCAAUAAUUGGGAGGCCCGCGAGAUCUUUCUAUCUCUAUCUAUCUAUGAGAUCGUUUUAUUCCCAAACAUUGACGAUUUCAUAGACAUGACAACCAUCUGUAUCUUCCUCACCAACAACCUAGUUCCCAUCUUGCUAGCUAAUAUGUACUACUACCUUUUCCUAAGACAUGAUAAGAGAUUAGGAAUGGUUUUUUGUUAGAAAUCCGAAUCUAGAUCUCCCCCCCCGGGUGUAGUGAAAAGAUCACUAGUUAAAAAAUUUGACAAAAGAUUAUUUUGAAAAGUUUAUGGCAAGUGGAAGUAACCCGGAUCGAAUAGUCUAACCGAACCUCUAUCGAAAAGCUCAGAUAAGUGUUAAUGCUAUCAAUGCAUGAAAAUUAACUCAAAUUAAUCAAAGACUUUUAAUCAUUAUGAAUUGAAUGCUUAUGCUACAAGUAAAGUCUAUUCCCAAUGAUCAAUCACAAAAAAAAUCUAUUGAGACAAAUUAUCGAACACCUUGUGUGCAGUGAAUUUUGUUUAGAUAUUUAUAUGUUUUUUAUCUUAAAAUUCAAAUACAAUCAAAAGGAUUGUGAUCAACUCAACUAAGCCUCUUUCAAAAGGUAAUAAAAUAUAUUUUCCAAACAUAAUGAUCGCACGACCAAUGAAUUCAAUAAUUUACAAACGAAAAAUAAAAGAGAUAGAGAGGGUACACAAGGAUUUAUUUAGGUAGUUCCCCAAUCGACCUCGCCAUGGGUUCGUCUGCCCUCAAUUUAAACUCGAAUUAAGAUAAUGAAAUUAACCUUACUUUACAAAAGUAUGUAUACAAGAGAGAUUUCACAAUCCAACCCUACAAACCCUAAGUUUUAUGUUGAUUCUGACACAUUUUCUUCCCUUGAUCAAGUAACCCAACAAUGCUGAUUUGAUUCAUCGUCUCAUGCUAAUUCUUUGCAAGAAAUCACUUGUUCUUCAAAUAUUUCACUUGCUCAAAUCAAAACUGUGAAUUAUUGUAACCUAAUAUUUACCAAUAUGGUCCACUAUCCCGCGCUACUCCUUUGCAAGAACCUUCCGUUCUUUAAAGCCUUCACUCUAUCAGAUCCAAACUGCAUAAUCUUGUCCAAAACCUUAAAAUCCCAUAUUAAUCUUGAAGGAAAACCCCGCCUUGGUUUUAUUAUUUGAAACCCUCAAAUAUCUCAACCCAAUUUACAAUUCAAUUAACCUAAAUUGGAUGUUAUCAACCCUAAUUAUAGAUGACACACAAACAAAGAAUGAUUUUGUGUAGUUUGUUUGUGUGUAUGCAUAAAAUGAGGUUGAAAGUUAUGAGAAUAUUUUGAAAUCCUUGUUUCAUGUAGGUUUACUCUAGAACUUUACUAUAAAUGAUUCAUAUAUGAAGUAUUUUCUGCAUGCAUUUUUGUAGGCAAAAGGAAUGCACAAGAUUUGAAAAAGUUGUGAAUUUUUAGAAAAAUACGUUGCAUGAGCCGACAUGUUCAAAGCAUGCAUCGACCUGUAUAGGUCAUGUGUCGACCUAUAGAGGUGGCACAACAUAAUCUACAUGCUUUAAAAAUGCAGUACAUGUGCUGACCUGAAAAACGGAUGUGUCGACACAUAGAAUUUUUCUUCUUCUAUGUGUCGACCUGAAACGUGUAUGUGUCGACACAUAGGCUAUUUUGCCCAUAAAACUUGUUUGUGAUGCAUUUUGAUGCAUGAAACCUUUUCCAACUCUUUUUCAAAUGUUUUUAUGCUUCAUAAUGCUAAGAUGCACAUUGAGAAUCAAAUGAUAUCGUCCAAUAUAUUUUAACGCUAAAGUAUCAUAGUUUUAACAUCAUGCAAAAUACAUCUAACAUAAAUUUAUACUCACAUACUCCCCAUUUUUUAUGAUGGAAAAACUUGAGACAAUGUGUUUCAUGUCUUCAUGAAUGCUCCCCCUGAAUGUAUGCAUCCCAGCUUCACUUGUAAAUACUUCUCCCUCAUUGACAACAUCAAAAAGAGACAAAUCAACCCAUGAGAAGUAAAUUAUAUCACACAUAAACCAAUAUAACACAAAGAGGCAUUUGAAAAGAUACAAUCAUCAAUACCACAACACUCACAUAGAAUGAUAUACAUACUGAAAAAUAAUGCCAAAACAUAAAUACAACUAUUUAAAGCAACACUAUAACUUGGUUGCCACAACUUAUACCAAAUAACAUAUACAAUAAACAUGAAAUAUGAAUGAUACAAUGUAAUAAAAAACUCUUGAGUUGCUACAAAAGUGACAAGAUUAUGUGACAUAUGCCUUUUGUGCUUCCGAAAUGUUGCACACACAUGCGCUCUAGCAAGGCGAUAUAUAGAUUUACUACCACUCAAACAAAAAAAAGAUGGGCAUUUUGCAAGAGUUGGUUCCUCAAUUACCUUCCGUCAACAAGAUUGACUUUGGGGAAGAACAUGGGAAUCUCCUUAGCCUUUUAAGUAAAGAAGUAGAUCCACUAGCAGUCUUGACCCUGGAUAAGUUCUAUGACCCUCCAUUGAGGUGCUUCACUUUCCAAGAUUUCCAAAUAGCUCCCACAUUAAAAGAAUUUGAGUAUAUUGUGGGUAUCAACAUGAAGAACAAGCUUCCUUUCUUUGGUUCAAAAGAACUUCCUAAGCAUAAGGUUAUAACUUCUUUUUUACACAUACACAAGAGAGAUGUAACCCCUAACUUGGUGACCAAGGGAAAUACCCAUGGUUUGUAAAUCAAGUUCUUAGUAGAGAAAGCUUAUGUCUUUGUUGAUGCCAAGAAUUGUGAGGUCUGCAAUGACGUUCUAGAUCUAUCUAUCUAUGGGAUCAUUUUGUUCCUAACCAUUGACGAUUUCAUAGACAUGACAACCAUUUGCAUCUUCCUCACCAAGAACCCAGUUCCCACCAUGAUAACUAAUGUGUGCUACUACCUCAGCCUAAGACAUGAGAAGAGAGUAUAAAUGGGUUUUGUUAGACGAUACACUUAGAUAUAGAGGGGGUGAAUAUAUCACUAGUUGAAAACUUUGAAAACAAAUCAUUUUGAAAAGUUUAUUGCAAGCGGAAGUAACCCAAAUCGAGUUUUCUAACCGAACCUCUAUCAAAAAGCUCGUAUAUGCGUUAAUGAUAUCAAUGUAUAUAAUGAACACAAAUUGAUCAAAUGCGUUUAAUCAUAACCAAUUGAAUUCUUGUGCUACAAGUAAAGUUUAUUCCCAAUGAUCAAUCACACAAAAAAUUUAUUGAGAAAAAUUAUCGAACACCUUGUGUGCAAUCGAUUUUGUUUGGAAACUUAUAUGGGUUUGCUGAUCUUAAAAUUCAAUCAAAAUAUAAAGGAUUAUGAUUAACUCAACAAAGCCUCUUUCAAAAGGAAAUCAAAAAUAUUUUUCAAACUUAAUGAUCACACGAUCGAUGAAUUCAAUAAUUCGCAAACGGAAAAUAAAAGAGAUAGAGAGGAAGAGGGAGUACACAAGGAUUUGUUUAGGCAGUUCCCCAGUCGACUUCACUAUGGGUAUGCAUGCCCUCAAUUCGAACUCGAAUUUAGAUAAUAAAAUUAACCUUACUUUGCAAAAGUAUGUAUACAAGAGAGAUGUAGCAAUCCAACCCGACACACCCUAAGUUUGAUGUUGAUUAUGACACCUUCUCUUCCAUUGCUAAAAGCUUGAUCAAGUAACCCAACAAUGUUGAUUUGAUUCACUGUCUCAUGCUAUUUAUUUGCAAGAAACCCCUUAUUCUUUAAAGCUUUCACUCGAUCAAAUACAAACUGAGAUUUCUUGUAACCCAAGAUUUACCAUUAUGAUCUACCUUCCCACACUACUCCUUUGCAAGAACCUUAUGUUCUUCAAAGCCUUCACUCGAUCGAAUCCAAAUUACAUAAUAUUGUUCAAAACCUUCAAAUUCAAAAUUGAUCUUGAAGGAAAACACCACCUUGGUUUUCUUAUUUUAAACCCUCAAAGAUCUCAACCCAAUUUACAUUUAAAUCAACCUAAAUUGGACGUUCUCAACCCUAAUUCUAGAUGGCACCCAAACAAAGAAUGAUUAUGUGUAGUUUGUUUGUGUGUAUGCAUAAAAUGAGGUUGAAGAUGAUGAGAACACUUUGAAAUCCUGAUUUCAUGCAGGUUUACUCUAAAACCUUACUAGAAACGAUGCAUGUAUGGAAUAUUUAUAUGCAUGCAUGUUUGGGGGCAAAAGAAAUGCAAAAGACUUGAAAAAGCUGUGAAUUUUUGGAAAAAUACAUUGCAUGAGCCGACCUGUUCGAAGCAUGUGUCGACCUGUAUAGGUCAUUUAUCGACUUGUAGACGUGGCACAUCUAACAAAAUCUAGUGGCUUUAAAAAAUGCAGUACAUGUGCCGACCUAAAAAAUGGAUGAGUCGACACAUUGAAAAAAGUUUCUUCUAUGUGUCGACCUGAAACAUGUAUAUGUCAACACAUAGGUUAUUUCCCCAUAAAACUUGUUUUUGAUGCAUGAAACCUUUUCCAACUUAUUUCCAAAUGUUUUUAUGUUUCCUAAUGCUAAGACACACAUUGAGAAUCAGAGGACGGUAUCCUAAUUUUGAUAUCAUUAAAAGGUUUCCAAAUGUUUUGACGCUAAAGUAUCCUAGUUUUGACAUCAUUAAAAGUACAUCUAACGGAAAUUUGCACUCACAUACUCUCCUUUUUUUAUGAUGGAAAAACUUGAGACAAUGUGUUUCAUAUCUUCAUGAAGGCUCCCCCUGAAUGUAUGCAUCCUAACUUCAUCUUGCAGAUGCUUCUCCCCCUUUAGAAAAAUCAAAAAGAGACAAAGUAAUCCAUGAGAAGUAUCUUACAUCACACAUAAACCAAUAUAACACACAAAGGCAUUUGCAAAGAUAAGAUCAUCAAUACCAUAAUACUCACAUAUAUUGAUGUGCAUAUUGAAAAAUAAUGCCUAAACAUAAAUACAAGCAUUUAAAGCAACAAUAUAACAUGGUUGCCACAACUUAUUCCAUAUAACAUAUAGAAUAAACAUAAAAUAUGAAGGAUAUAGUGUAAUAAAAAACUUUUGAGUUGCUACAAAAGUGACACGAUUACUUGACACGUGCCUUUGGUGCUCCCAAAAUAUUGCACACGCAUAUGCUCUAGCAAGGCGACAUAUAGAUUUACCAUCACUCAAACCAAAAACAGAGAUGUUAUCAUAACAAUGACACACUACAAGAAUUUUGCUAACAUUAUACAUGUUCAAACAUAUUUCAUGUCGGAAUAAAUAACAAUCAUAUGCACCAAGAACACAUUUCAAGUAUGAAGGAAGAAUUACACAGAGUCACUAUAAGCAUAUAUAUUGACAUUCAUCAAUAGAAAUUUUUAGAAGUGAACAUUCAUAUACUAUUUCAUACAUCAAGAAUAUCAAUAAUUUGGAGCAUAAACAACAUGCAAAAGUAAAAUCUUACUUUCAAAGAGGGAAAAUGGAACAACAUUACAUCGCUUAUGAAUUGAUGAGAGAUGCACUCAUAUGUGAUUGAAAUUCCAAGGAAAGUUAAAGGAAAAGUAUAUAAAGUGCAUGCAACAAAUCAUAUUUAGGCAAGAUUUGAAAUAUCAAGUAUCCCCAAUUCCCUUCAAAUGUUGAGAUACAGUUCGGUCGCAAGAGGUUUUUUAAAGAUAUUCGCAAGUUGAUUUUUGCUAUCAACAUACUCAAAUACGACAUCUCCUUUUUCAACGUGGUCACGUAGAAAGUGGUGAUGGAUCUCAAUAUGCUUAGUGCGAGAGUGUAAUACUAGAUUUUUGGUUAGAUUAAUAGCACUAGAGUUAUUGCACAUAAUAGGAAUAUGUUGUAGUUUAAUAUCAAAAUCAAGUAGUUGUUGUUUGAGCCACAAAAUUUGAGCACAACAACUACCAGCUGCUAUGUAUUCUGCCUUGGCAGUUGACAAAGCAAUCAAUACCUGUUUCUUGAUAUGCCAACUUACUAAGGAGUUUGAAAACACGUGGCAAGUUUCACUAGUACUUUUCUUAUCCGAUUUGCAACCGGAAAAAUCCGAAUCGGUGUAACCAACCAAAUUACAAUCACUUCCCAUGGAAUACCAAAGCCCAUACUUAGAAGUACCAUGACGAUAUCUAAGAAUAUGUUUUACGACUUUUAAAUAUGAUUUCUUCGGAGCCGAUUGAUAACGAGCACACAUACAUACGCUAAACAUAACGUCUGGCCUAGAUGCAAUAAGAUAUAUAAGAGAACCAAUCAUACCUCUAUACUUCUUGACAUCAAUCCUUACCAUUUUCAUUCUUUUCUAAGUUUCUAUUUGUGGGCAUCAGAGUGUCAAUCGAUUUUGCAUCUUCCAUGCCAAAUCUCUUUAGCAAGUUAUUGCAAUAUUCGUUUUGACAAACAAAUGUCCCUUUGUUGAGUUGCUUGAUUUGAAGACCAAGGAAGUAAUUCAACUCCCCCAUGAGACUCAUCUCAAACUCACCCUACUUAAGCUUAGAAAACUCCUUUACAAGUUGCAUGUUAGUGAAACCAAAAAUGAUAUCAUCAACAUAAAGUUGAACUAGAAGAAUAUGUUUUCCUUGACGCUUAAUGAGAAGUGUAAUAUCUACCUUUCCCCUAUAGUAUUUUUGAUCGAUUAUAAACUUACUAAGUCGCUUAUACCAAGCUCUAGGGGCUUGUUUGAGGCCAUACAAAGCUCGUUUUAGUUUGUAAACAUGAUUAGGAUACUCGUGAUUUUCAAAACCAGGAGGUUGAGAAACAUACACUUCCUCAUUAAUAUAGCCAUUAAGAAACGCAAUUUUCACACCCAUUUGAAAUAACUUGAAAUUUUUGGAGCAAGCAUAAGCUAGUAGAAGGCGUAUAGCCUCGAGGAGAGAAACUAGAGCAUAAGUUUCUUCAUAGCCAAUGCCCUCAUCUUAGUUAUAACCUUGAGCCACUAGCCAGGCUUUGUUUCGGGUUAUCACUCCGUUUUCAUCGAGUUUGUUUCUAAAAACCCAUAUAGUGUCAAUUACUUGAUGAUUUAUCGGAUGAUGGACAAGGUUCCAAACAUCAUUUAUUUUAAACUAGUUAGGAGAUGUUUGAGAGAGAAGUGGAGGUAGGAGAUGAAUAUGGAGGGAUUGGAAUGAGAUAGAAAAUUUGUAAAGGUAAUGAUUUAUGAUAUAAUUGGUGUUUAAGGGGAUUUGAUGAGAUAUGAUGAAGGUUGGUUGGGUAAUGAAUGAUAAGUGGGCCCAAGGUGAGAGAAGUUGGAGAGUUGAAAUUCAAACCCUUCUUUUUUUUAAAAUUCUGCAUUUCCCCCUGCAAACCUGUUACGGGCCGUAGCCACUACUACAGGCGCCCGUAGUAGGCUUUUGUCUUGCCAUCAUGUUCUCAGGUCCUGCCUACUACAGGCUGUAGCAUCUGCUACGGGCGCCCAUAGUAAGUUUCUGUUUUAUGCUAGAAUUUGGAGGGUCUGUCUGCUACGAGCCAUAGCAUCUGCUACAGGCACCCGUAGUCGGCCUCUGAUACUUCCUCCAAAUCUUGUUUUUCUUGAUCGUAUGGUUUUUUAUUUCGGGUACCAUUCUUUGUAUCGACUUUUCUUCAAUUGAAUGUAUCUCCUUUUGUCUCCCUAUGUUAAGAGACUAUAUAUCACCUGACUAAGAAACAAAAUAAAUAACAAAAAAUGAAAAAUCACCAGUAAGUAAAAGCGUGGGUUGCCUCCCACGAAGCGUUUCGUUUAACGUCGCAUGGCUCGACGGUUCACCACACUAUCUGUGUAGAUGAACAUUCUCCACCAGGCCAAUUCCUUGUCCUUGGUGAUAAGGCUUCACUUUCUUUCUUGUGGCUUUUGGUAUGGAAACAAGAAUUUUUCCAUUCGGAGUUGCUAAUGAAGGUGGUAGCAGUUGAGAAGGCCUUCUUGAGUUUUUUUCUUCUGAUGUUGGUAUGUUACUUUGGCUUUUCACAUAUGUCUUGAUCAUGCCUACUUGAUAGUGAUUUUCUUUUUCUGUCUCUAGCUUCCUGUUUUCAAUAACAUUCAAGGUUAUUUCAUCAUCAUAAACUUUUAAAGUUAAUGUGACCUGGUCUAUGUCGAAAUUGCAUCGACUUGUCUGCAUGAAUGGUCGACCAAGAAUGAUAGGUGUCUCUUCAUCCUACGGUAUGUCUAUGAUCAUAAAAUCAAUAGGAAAACUAAAUUCCUCUAUUGUCACCAGUACGUCUUCCACUAUCCCAUAUGCAUUCUUUAUGGAGUGAUCUGCAAACUUCAGAUUUGUCCUUGUAUCACUGAAAUUUCCAAUACCAAGCCUUUGGUAGAUUGACAGUGGCAUCAGACUCACACUAGAUCCAUAAUCAAUUAGUACCUUCUUAAAAGUUCUGUCCUUUAUAGUGCAUGGGACUGUGACCGCUCCAGGAUCCUUCUGCUUGUUUGGGAUUCUCCUACCGUGUGAUAUUGCACUGCAGUUUGCAUUCAAGGCUAUCGACCCAUCUUCUAUUGGUCUCUUUUCAGCGAUUACCUCUUUCAUGAACUUUGUGUACAUGGGCAUUUGCUCGAGUGCUUCAAAAAAUAGCAUAUUAUUCUCUAUCUUUUUGAACAUUGUGAUGAAUUUCUCAAAGACUGUCUCUCUUGGAUCCUUCUUUGUCACUCUCUCAGGGUAGGGUAACUUAAUCACAGGCUUAGCCUCAUUUUUAUUUUUAUUUUCAAUUGGCUUUACUGGUGGUAUAACUUCUUCAUCUUUAGCAUCUUUCUAACUUCUCUUCGUGACAACAUUGACAUUCUCAUGAUUUCUUGGGUUUUGUACUGUUUCACUUGGUAAGGAACCUUGUAUUUGAGAACCUGCUAUUUGUUGUGCUAUUUGACCCAUAUGAACUUCAAGAUUUUUGAUGGAAGCAGCCGUGUUCCUUUGAUUAUUUCUUGUUUCUUCUUGGAAUUGGGAAUUUUGAGUUGCCAUCUUUUUAAUGGCAAGUUCCCAAUCGGCCUUUUUGGGUGCUUGUUACUAAUAUUGUUGUUGUUGUUAUGGGUACUAUUAUUAAAUGGGACCCUACUUUUGAAUAUUCCCUUGCCAAUCUUUCCAGGAACAUUUUGGAUGAUUCUUCCACCCUGGAUUAUAAGUGUUAGAAUAAGGGUUGUUCUACUUCUAAAAUUUUAUCUCUUCAAUUUGUUGAGCGGCUGCAACACAGUAUACAGUCAAAUGAGGUUCUGCAUAAAUUUCACAAUUUACAUUCUAGACUGGCUGAAUUUGAGCUACCUGCUGUGUACCAAUAUUCAUAGCCUUUAGUUUCGUCUAUACCUCUGCAGCAACUAUUUCUUAUAUCCUUAUUUUAUUUGUUUCAAGCUUCAGAUUAAUAACUCUUUCAGGUUUGCUUGAACACCUAUCAUAUAACUCCAAAUGCUCAUUUGUAGCUAUUGUCUCAAUGGUCUUUUUAAUACUUGCGGACGUUAAAAAGUUUUAUGAGCCACCGACUGCAGUAUCAAUCAAUUGUUUUGUUUUCAGUCAAAGACCAUUGACAAACAUCUGCAUUUGCUCCGUCUGAUCCAAGUUGUGUGUAGGACAAGCAACAAGUAUCCUUUUGAAUCGUUUGUAUGAAUUACAAGUGAUUUUCACCUUCUUUUUGUUUGAAGUUCAUGAUGUCGUAUCUUUUCCUGUGGAAAACUGAAUUUGGAAAAUACUCAUUCAGAAAAGUGGUUUCCAUUUGUUCUCAGGUGGUAAUACUCCUAGCAGGUAAUGAGUAGAACCAUUCUUCUGCAUCUUCAGAUGGGGUGAAAGGGAACAUUCGUAGCUUCUUUUCCUCUUCAGUGUGCCCCUCUAUCUUGAGAGUGGUGCUCAUAGUCAGAAACCUUUGUAAAUGCUUAUUUUCAUCUUCGUUGGUUUUUCCCAAAAAAGGUAUCCUCUCAAGUUGAUUAAUAAUGCUGGGAUGCAGCUGAAAGUUUGGCACAUUCACUGGUUGGUUCACCAUUGUUAGCAUACCUCCCGGUGCAUUUGAAAUCCCAUAGUCACCUAACGUUCUUUCUGGUGGUGGUGGAUUUUCACCCAUUGUUUCGACCUCUCUUUCUGGCUCUCUUUCCGCCUCUGAAUCUGGCUCUGAAUGAACAGCUGGUUGUUCUUUGUCUGAUUCCAAUUUUACUAAUCUAGCUUGUCUGAGUCUUGCACACAAAGUUCUUUCAAUUUCUGCAUUAAAAGGAAAAUCAAUUGAGGCCUUACCUCGCAUAAAAAUAUCAGAGACAAAUUAAUUGAUAAAGUUCGAAAUAAAUGAAAUAACAGAAAUUAAAUUUUAGUUGCAGAGCAACAAAAUUUUAACUGAACUCUAUAUUUUAGCAGUCCCCGACAACGGCGCCAAAAACUUGAUCGGAAAAAUAGUAAGUGUACUAUUUUUCCUUUGUAGUAAUAAUGAGGAAAAUUCCCCGAAUGUCGAUCUCAAGGACUGCGCAUAAAUAUUUAGUUCUAAUUUUUGUUCAAGUAAACAAAAACUAAUGUUAGGGGUUUUUGAUCAAAUAUAUAAAAAUAAUUGCAAAUAAAAUAAAUAGUGCUGAGAAUGGGUUUAAAAGAUAGAGUAAUAUGCUAUGGAAUGUGUGUGAUUUAUCCCUGUAAUAACUAUGAGUCACUAUUGCAACAACAAAUAUCAAUUAAUUAGCACCACUUCUCAAGGGUGUUUUCUCCUAAUGCCUUAGUGAGAAAACCUUUAAUCAUUCAUACCUAAUCUCUAUGUCCAUAGAAAUUAACCGGUGAAAUUAAGCAAUAUUAUAUCGAGAACAAUUUGGUUCCUACAGGGUAUCCCUAGUCCUAGGUAAUAUCUAAUGUAGAAAAAUAUCAUGAAAGAAUUAUCAAAGGCGGUCCAACCUAAUUGAUAAUCAUAUAAAAAUCCUAAUUAUUCCAAAAGAGAAAGUGUUAAGUACAUCACAAGACUAAACUAACUAUGAAAACAAUACUGUUAUUGCAAAUAUAAACUCAAAGUCAUUACAGAUUCAAAUCAGGGACACCCCCUAGCAUUGGGGGGCUUAGCUACUCAUAGUAUUCAAGAAAAUCAGAAUAUAAAAUAGAGACAUUAAAGUGGAGUCUCGUUUCUACCAAAACCUUGAUUUCUCUAAUUUUGAAUCGUGUGAAUUCUUUCGUCCCCAAAAAAGUGUCAUUUCUUGUCUGAAAACUCCCCUUUUAAUAGAAAAGUCUUCUCUCUCCUCAAACAGAUCCACAAAAGUCCAUCACAUCAGCUUUCUAAUUGACCAAAAUGCCCUUCACUUAAGAAUCACACUUAAAAAUGAUGAAGCAAUAAAAUUGACUAUCGGGGAUAGUAAUUGACUAAACAAACCACUAACCAUGAACGAAGUAAUACAGUUUACCUGGAUUUUUUAUGAAUAAGUGACAAAUUAUAUAGCAUAAAUGGUGACUGAUCAAUCAUUUUAUUCCCAAACAUUGACAAUUUCAUAGACAUGACAACCAUCUACAUCUUCCUCACCAAGAACCCAGUUCCCACCUUGCUAGCUAAUAUGUACUACUACCUCAUCCUAACACAUGAGAAGAGAGGAUGAAUGAUUUUUGUUAGACGAUAGACUUAGAUCUAGAGAUGGGUGAGUAAAUCACUAGUUAAAAACUUUGACAAAAAAUGUUUUGAAAAGUUUAUGGCAAACAGAAGUAACCCGGAUCAAAUCGUAUAACCAAACCUCUAUCGAAAAGCUCAAAUAUGAGUUAAUUCUAUUAAUGUAAGAUAAUGGACACAAAUUGAUCAAAGGCUUUGAAUCACCACUAAUUGAAUGCUUGUGCUGCAAGCAAAGUCUAUUCCCAAUGAUCAAUCAUAUAAAAAUUCUAUUGAGAAAAAUUAUCGAACACCUUAUGUGCAAUCGGAUUUGUUUAGAAAUUUAUAUGGUUUUGUUGAUCUUAAAAUCCAACCAUAAUCUAAAGGAUUGUGAUCAACUCAACAAAGCCUCUUUCAAAAUGUAAUAAAAAAUGUUUUUCAAAUGUAAUGAUCGCACGAUCGAUGAAUUCAACAAUUUGCAAACGAAAAAUCAAAGUGAUAGAGAGGGAGAGAGAGUACACAAGGGUUUGUUUAGGUAGUCCCCUAAUCGACCUCUCUAUGGGUACGUUUACCCUUAAUUCAAACUCGAAUUGAGAUAAUGAAAUUAACCUUACUUUGCAAAAGUAUGUAUACAAGAGAGAUGUAACAAUCUAACCCUACAAACCCUAAGUUUGAUGUUGAUUAUGACACCUUAUCUUCCCUUAAUCAAACCUUGAUCAAGUAACCCAAUAAUUCCAAUUUGAUUCACUAUCUCACGCUACUUAUUUGCAAUGAACCCCUUGUUCUUAAAAGCUUUCACUCGAUCAAAUCCAAAUCGUGAAUUAUUAUAACCCAAGAUUUACCAAUAUGAUCCACCGUCCCACACUUCUCCUUAGCAUGAACCUUCCGUUCUUCAAAGCCUUCACUCGAUCAUAUUCAAAUUGUGUAAUCUUGUCCAAAACCUUCAACUCCCAAAUUAAUCUUGAAGUAAAAUCCCACCUUGGUUUUCUUAUUUGAAACCCUCAAAGAUAUCAACCCAAUUUACAAUUCAAUCAACCUAAAUUGGACAUUAUCAAUCCUAAUUCUAGAUGGCACCUAAACAAAGAAUGAUUAUGUGUAGUUUAUUUAUGUGUAUGCAUAAAAUGAGGUUGAAGAUGAUGGGAACACUUUGAAAUUCUGAUUUCAUAUAGGUUUACUCUAGAACCUUACUAGAAAUAAUGUACGCAUGAAGUGUUUAUAUGCAUGCAUGUUUGGAGGGAAAAGGAAAGUAAAAAAUUUGAAAAAGUUAUGAAUUUUUAGAAAAGUAUGUUGCAUGAGCCUACCUGUGUAAGUCAUGAGUUGACUUGUAUAGGUCAUGCAUCGACCUGUAUAACUCAUGUAUCGACCUAUAGAGGCAAAACAUCUACCAGAAGCUACAUGGUUUAAAAAUCCAGUACAUCUGCCGACCUGAAAAAUGGAUGUGUCGACAUAGAGAAAAUAGCUUCUUCUAUGUGUCGACCUGUAACAUGUAUGUGUCGACACAUAGGUUAUUUGUCCCAUAAAACUUAUCUUUGAUGCAAUUUUUAUACAUGAAACCUUUUCCAACUUAUUCACAAAUGUUUUUAUGCUUCCUAAUGUUAAGAUUCACAUUGAGAAUCAGAGGAUACCGUCUAAUAUACAUUAACACUAAAGUAUCCUAGUUUUGACAUUAUGCAAAAUAAAUCUAACAAAAAGUUGCACUCACAUUUUAUGUUGCACUCUUUUGUUUCACAAAUGGUUGUUAACUCAUCUUUUGAAAAAAAGACCUUUUGUGGAACAACAAGACAAUCUCAAUUGGCCUCAAAGGAUGGUAUCCCUCCAAGCAGAUGAUAUCUCUUGGUAUUCAUGAGAGUAUGAUGAUAUUGAGAUCAUCUUCAGUUGUAGAGACUUCCCUAACAUACCUCUCAUUGGGGCUCAAGGGUGCAUCAACUCUAACCCAGACUUAUCUUUAAGGAAGCUCGGGUUCCUAAUGGAGAUCCCACCCAAGGACAAUAUGUUGGAAGGUUUCAUCCUACAUGACAUAUGGGAUGAGAACUCAACUAUGUUCAAUAGAAUCAAGAAAUUAUGGGAAAGAAUCAGUAGAAAAUGGAAGAAUGAGCUUGGAAAGAAAGGGUGCAACAAAUCAAGUUACCCUUCAUCACCGAGGUCCCUAUUCCACCUCCAGGUCCUAAGCCUACCCAUGUUCCCAUAGAGGAAGUCGAGGAACUCAAUGCUACUAUCUCUAAACUUGAGAAGGAAAAUGAAGAGUUACAUUUGAGGCUCAUUCAGGUUACCCACGAGAGAAAUAAGCUCAACUUUAAUCUCAAGCAAAGGGAAAAGAAGCUUGGAAAAAGUGAGUAAACAUUUGAAGAUGAGAGGAAAAAGAGAAAAAGAGUCCGUCCCUGCCUGACAGGGGAAGGACUUGAUCUUAGUCAAUGACACCAAGAGCUUAGAGAAGCCAAAAAAAUGGUGAACGGAAGAACCUUUGGGAAAGGACCUUGAUAAGCCAAAAAGAAAUGAGGGAAGGAUUUGAAACUUGAAUAUAGGAACUCACUAAAUUUCUUAAGGAGUCCCAAGCCCAGGCAUCGUAUGAAAGACAUUUACGAGGAGAAAUUGAGCGAGCAUCCCCAAACUCUCAUGCCAACCUGAAGAAGGUCCUAGAAGAGUUGAGGAACCUCAAGGACUAUAAUCUACGCUUGAAAGAAGAUGAUGAGAUUUUGAGAAAUAAGGGUAGAUAAUGGGGAGCAAGGGUUUAACAUCUGGAGGGUCAUGUAUAACGAGACCAAUACACUAUCCAAUAUAUCUGUAUAAAAUACGUAUGUGGUAUGGGAAAUGUGUCCAAGUGUUUGAACUCGCCAACAAUCUCCGUGAGACAUGCCUUUGAAGUUAAGGGAUGCAUUUGAGGAUAUGACACCUGAGAAAACUCCUCUGGCUGUCUUUGACUUUAUCAUCUUUUGUAUACUCGUGAUCAAAGAUCUUCAAGCCAAAUUAGAGCUACUUAAUGAAUCAAAAUCUCAUUUGCAAUUUUUAUUUUCUUUAUCACUCUUACGCUUCUGAAUGCUUAACAACUGACGAAUCCAAAGAUUCCUCAAAAAUAAAAUAAAAAACAUAAAAGAAUUUUGCAUACAUCAAUAUAAACCAACAUUUACAUGCAUUUCAUUUUUCAAAAUAAAAAACUCAUACCCUUUCUCCAUCUUCUUUGGAAUCAAACCUGGCUUCCCGACAUCGUUACGAAACACGAAAUAAAUAUCAACGCACGAUGGAACAAGUUGAAUUGAACCAGGAGGCAAUGGGAGAAUAUAUGAAUGUUAUAAAGAGAAAUAUGGAUCAACUCUUGGAGGCCAUGUUGGCUCUUACAAGGAAGGAAGACAACCCACAGGUGGUUACGAAUGCUAGGAACAUUGCAUCCCAGCUUGGAUCCUCUUCGCUCCGGAUUCCCGAGGGGGUUGAUCCUGAAUUUAGGCUUCCCCAGGGAUACACUACUCUUGAAGGAGUUGUUGCUCCAACACAUGUCAGAAUCCCGAUAGUGAACUUGGCUUCUCAAGAGUACUCUAUUGCUUCAGCGAUACAUGGAUCUCAGUAUGAUGAAAAAGAUCCUCGGUAUGCCUAUUUCAUGUCGACUUAGGAAAUGCCUCAAAUGAUGCAUGUUCCUGAACCUUUGGUUAACCCUGCUAAUGAGAGGCUUCUGUCUGAACAAAAUUGGUCGAUACCAUAUCACUUGGGUUUUGAUGAUAACAAAGUAUUUAAAGAGAAGUUGGGUAUUCUAACAUUUGUUCAAGUAUGUAGGACUAAAUGAUUGAGAACAAAUGAAGAGAUGCUUGAGGAAUCUGAAUCUGAAGAUCAGAAUCUGGUUUAUGAAGAGUACUUCUAAAGACUCUGCCUCUGGUGGUGAUUUAGACUCUGAAGAAGUCAACUCUGAAGAAAGUUAGUCUCUAGUAACCCAGACUCUAAAGCUUCAGAAGCCAAGAAGUGGACUCUGACGUGAUCAACCUCUAAAGAGUGAAGUCUGAAGAAAGUCAGCCUUUGAAGCAGAAACUCUUCAAUCAAGGAAACUCUGACAGACUCAGAGACUUUUUGAUCAUGUGAAGACUUAAGGAAAAAUAUCUCUCUUAGUUGACAAAACUUCAAUGGAUAAUUCCUCUUGCAGAAAGGUGUUUUAUUGAUGUGUCUAGUCAAGUACAAAGCUAGCCCAACCUUUUGGUGAAAGUCUCUAAUGUGUCUUUUCACCGUCUAUAUAUAAGGAGCUGAAGGGUUAAAAAAGAAGAUUAUCAAGAUUCAAUACAACACACUUCUAUAGACUCUGAACAUUGACAUUCAAAGAGAAGCUACUCUGUCAAAUUUAAAAGACUUAGAACAUCUUAACAUUAUGUAGAUUUUAGAAGUUCUUAAGUCUUAGAGUUUUUCUAAGUUUUAUUAUGUCUACACCUCUGAUUGUAUAUCAAGUGUAGUUGUUACCCAAAUCUCUUAAUAGUUUGUUAUAGAGUCAUAAGUAUCUUGCUUUAGUGCUUGAGCAUUUGAAGUCUUUAGCUUGUGUGCUAGAGCAAGGAAGUCUCAGACUUGUGUGUUUGAGAAAGGAAGUCUUAUACUUGUGUGUGUAAGCAAAGAAGUCUCUUGCUUGUGUGCUCAAGCAUUUGUAAUCAGUUUGGUUAUAGUGGAAAUCCCAUGGAUGUACAAUGGGAUUAGACUACUCUCAAGUUGUAAGAGGAACCAAGAUAAUUUAUUGUGUCUCUUGCUUUACUUAACUUGCUUAUGUACUUAAAUAUUUUGUUUUUGUGAACUCUGAUCCUCUAAGUUAGAUUCUAGUUCAGAAUCUGAUAAGAUCUUUCAGAUGUCAAUAUAGUUUUCUAAGUCAAACUCUGAACCAAGUGUUCAGACUCUGGUUGAGAAACAUCAGAAGCUGAAGUUGAAAAAUUAAAUAAUAAUAAAAAUACAAUACAAUUCAACCCCCUUCUUGUGUUUUUCUCACCUUUAGUUGGCAUCAUAGCAAGGUUCGUGCUAAACAAUUAACAAUGGUGCAGAAAAGAUCUUGAGAAAAAUACUUAUUCUUCAUGGCUAAUGGAUUUGGAGGAUUUGGUCCUGGUGGGGGUUCUCCUAAUCAUUUUGGUAGGGUUAAUCAUGAUUAUAGUAACUAUGAGAGAAAUAAUUAUACUGCUAGACCUCCUACUUUUAGUGGAGAUUCCACUGAGUUUCAAUGGUGGAAAAGCAAAAUGUAUACUCACAUCAUAAGUCUUAAUGAUGAGUUAUGGGAAAUUUUGGAAGAUAGCUUAAAUAUCUAAGUCAAUGGUGUUGGAAUGGUGUCUGACAGAAAAUCACUCACACAUGAGCAGAAAAAGAUUUAUAGUAAACACCAUAGAGUAAGAGGCAUCUUGGUUGACGCUCGACCUCAUUCUGAGUAUAUCAAAAUUAUUGAUAAAUCUACUGCUCAUACCAUCUUCAAAUCCCUAUGUGUUACUUAUUAAGGGAAUCAACAAGUUCAAGAAGCCAAGGCUAACCUUAUGGUUCAAUAGUAUGAGUUGUUCAGAAUGAACGAAGAUUAAGCUAUUAAAAUCAUGUUUUCUAGGCUUCAAAUUCAUGUGUAUGGACUCUGGGUUCUGAACAAGAGUUAUACUACAUCUGAUAAUGUCAAGAAGAUCCUUAGGAGUCUUCCUAUCAGAUACAAACCCAAGGUAACAUCAAUCCAGGAGGCUAAAUAUUUAAACAAAUUAAGUCUUGAGAGUCUUAUUAGCAAUCUCUAGAGCCAUGAUAUGGAGCUUAAUGGAGAUGAGACUAUAAAGAAACCUAAAUCACUGGAUUUGAAGUCAGUGGUAGAGAAAUCUAGUGAUAAAACUGUUAGAUCCUCAAAAUACUAGAAACUAGAAGUAGCUUUUGUUGAAGAAGAUUCAGAUGAUAACUCUGAUGAUGAGGAAAUGGCCUUUAUCAUCAAGAGGUUUCAACAUAUGGAUAACAAGAAUAGGAUUUUCUCUGGCAGUAGAUCUGGCCUCAGAGGAACAAGCUCUAAAGUUAACAGAGCUGAUCAAAAAGGGUGCUUCAACUGUCAGAAGCCUGAUCAUUUAUAUAGCUGAUUGUCCAGAGCUUCAGAAGGACAAAGCUAAAAAAGGAAGCUUCUAAAAGAACAACUUCAUAAGCAAGUUCAAGAAAAGUAUCAUGGUAACAUGAGAUGAACUUGAUAAUGAAUAAAAAGAUGAUGAGAAUAAAGAAGAAGCCAAUCUAGCUUUGAUGGCUUCAACAUUCUCAGACUACGAAUCAGAAGUUGAUUCUAUAUUAGAUUCAGAGGAUGAAGAUGAUGUGAUUUAAUUACCUUUUGUCAAGAUCUUAUGGAUAGAUGUCAGUACAAAGCCAAACUCAUGAAAAUAUUGAAAAAUCAAUAUGAUCUUUUGAAAGAUGAAGUAAAAGCAUCUCAAAAGAAAACUUCAUUUAUUUAAAGAGAUCAUAUUGCUCAAGUAAAUAAAGUGUCUAAUAAACCCUUUAGUGAGCAUGAAAUGUCUCUUCAAGAAUUUAUCAUAACUGGCUUUGAAAAAACUAAACUUGCUUCCAUGAUCUAAUGGAGUAAGCAAGAGCAAAGGAGAAGGUAUUGUUUAUCAUAAAAAACCUUUUAAUCCAAGGAAUGAAACAUUGAUUAAACCAUUAGAUUCAUCUUUUUCAAGCUUUGCUCAAAAAGGGUUGUACUCUCAAUUUGUUCCUGUUAUUAAUGCUAAGGUUCUAAACCAAUCAUAACCUAUAAUUAUAGAGUCAGAGGUUCGGAAGAAACCAGAACCUGAGACCUUAAGGUCAAAAGGUCUGAAGAAAUUAGAACCAAUGAUUCUUAAGUCAAAUGUGCUAAAAGAAUCAGAACCUGGGAUCUCAUAGUUAAAGGUUCUGAAGAAGAUAGAACCUAAGACAUCUAGUUGCAAGGUUCUGAAAGGUCCAGAACCUAAUAACAAGGCUCAUUCAAGACAACAAACUUUUAGAUAUAAAGUCUUGAAUAAUCCAAAUCCUUAUUAUAGAGUAAAGGCUCAAAGUAAGUGGAAGACCAAUCGAAUUAACCUCAAAGGACCCAUAAGAGUAUGGGUACCAAAGAGUGAGAUUACUUUUGUUGGACAUAUGCUGAAAGGAAAGAACAAAGCAACAACUUCAGUUCCAGGACAAUUGUUGCUUACAAAUUAUAAUAGCAGAAAAGUCUAUGUUCCAAAUCCCAACUCAUAAGGAGGAAGAAAAUGUGGAGUCUGAAAUAAACUAGUAAGAAAAGAUCACUGGUACAUGGAAGACUAGAGCUGAUCAAUCAAAAGUUGGAACUUUAGAUGCUUAACCAAUCUAUGAAGUUUAUCUAGUUGGCAUGGGGUCUGAAACGACUCUUGAUGGUUAUCAGAAGAGCAUUGUUGGAACAAUGUAGUUCCUCAAGAACAAUCUCAAUAGAAGAUCAAAAGUUGCACAAAGAAAGGUAUGACUAUCUCUUUGUUUUUAUUCAACAGUUUCUAAUCCUAAUAUUUUAAUAUCAGUUAGCAGAACUUCAUAUUUAUGAAAGUAGAAUUAUACUUCACCGUGAUAAUGCUACUUCUAUCUGAGUUCUAGAGUAUUUUAUUCAAUCACAGAUUCAAACACUUUAAAAAUAUUUUAAAAACUUAUGUGCUUAACUCUGAUUAGAGAAUCAGAAUCUGAUGAUGAUCAUAAGCUAUUGCGAUCAGAAGCUCUAAACAAGCUUCCGGUGAAUAGUAGCCACUAAAGCAUCCCAGCCUCUGAAACUUUUAAUGAGAUCAACUGCCUCUGAUAUGUACACAAGUGGCCAAAACUUUUCAACUUCCUCUGGCACCUGUCCACUUACGUGUCAUGAAUCUGAAGUGUUAUUUGACACAUGAAUUGUAACUGCUGGAUAAAAACCUUCAGAUUAUGAUGAUUUGUCUUAGAUACUGUGCAUCCCGCCUCUUUUGCCUUUAAUUUUUUGUUAAAGAUUAUUUUUUUCACUCAAAACACUAUACUUAAUCAGAUGCACACACUUCACAUUCUCUCAUUUCCCUCACUUUUGUUCUCAAGCUUUCUCUGAAAAAUUACCCAUUUAAAAAAGAAACCCUAAGAACCCUAAAACCUCUUUUGUAAUAGCGUCAUCAUCUUCUCAACAAGCACCCACAAAUAUUGAUUAUGGUAAAAUUCUGUGAAUCAAACCUAAAACCAUAGAAAUCAAUAGAGGAUUUGAAGCUCAUUGUGGAGUAGAUUAUGGAUUUUGACUCCUUCAAUCUAAAUGGUUACUAUCUCAAGAGUUUCUUCAGAGUGGAAUAAUGGUCUUUAUUCUUUGAUAUGAUGAAUGGACUAACAUAUCCUCAUCUGGUCAGAUGUUUAUGGGCAAGAGCUGAAGUUUAUGGUGAACCUUUUGCUUCUAUGGAAGAAGAUCAGAUGGUGCUUAAAGAAAAAUCCUUGAAAGGGAAGAGAAGAAAGGAAAUGAGUCUGAAAGAUUUUGAAGAAAUGGAGAUUAGGUCAGUUGUGAUGGGUGUUGAGGUCACCAUCACAUAUAAGAUAAUUGCUAAGCUUCUUGGUGUGACAGAUACAAGAAGAUUCAGUCUGAACACCAAAGAAAGCAACCCAGAAGCUGCUGCUAUCAAAACAAGUCUAUUUGAGUUAUCAGAAAAUACAUCAACCUCUUCAUACUUUGGGAAGGUGAAGAACAUUAAGACUUAAUACAAGAUUUUGUUCAAGAUCCUCACUGGUUUUCUAAUCCCUAGAGAGGGAAUCACUGAUAAAAUCUCCUGGGACCAUAGACACUUCAUAUGGUACUUGGUCAAUGAAGAGAAUAACAAUCUCUCUGCUUACAUAUUACAUCAUAUUUGUGAGGCUAUCAAGGAAAGAAAAAAGCAUAUGAAGAAGCAUGUACCCUAUGCUAGUCUUCCAUUUGAAUUAUUUCAUCAGGGUCGUCUAAUUGACUCCCUAAAAGCUGCUUCUGCCUAUGAGGAUCUGGAGGAAACUCAUGGGAACAUUCUUUUUGUUUCUAUUUUUCCCAACAUAAAGCUUUUGAAGAAGAGUGAAGUGGUGUUAUAAAAAGAACCUCUCAGAGUCAGAAGUACAAAAUUUGACUAUCUUGAGGACUAUCCUAUGAUUACUAAACAUGAUAAUCCUUAGGUUGUACAUUUAGAUGGCAAGAUAAAAAGGUGGUGUGAUUAUAAGAUAUGAAUAUUUACGAGAAGAAACAACUAACUUGCAAAAACCUUCUAAGAAGAGAUAACAGGUGGCUUCUGAUACUCAGAAAAUCAUUCAGAAGCCUCAUAAGAAGAAGGUUGUGCAACAAAAGGAGAUUGAGAAGGAAAUUAAAGAGUGAGUUUCCUCCACUGUCUUGAUGCCCUCUAAGAUAAAAAGUGGAAGAACUCCUCAGGAGGUAUCUUCAUCUUCUGUCACAUCCGAUGCACCUAUGAAGAAGAGGAUGCUAAGGAAGAAGAUUAUUUCCUCUGAAGUUGAAGAGGAAAUUGAGAGAUCUUCGGUAAGAAGGACAAAGAUUAUAGAUGUUAGAGCUCAAAAGGUUGUAUAAGGAACUAUUUUCAAGGGAGCUUAACUGCUUGUAUCUGCUCUGAUAGAACAAGAGGAGAAACAACAUGCAACCUCUGAUGCUCAUUUGGAAGAAGUUGCCACUAGAGGAGAAAUUAUGAAGACUGGUGAAGUCAGAGUUGGUGAAGUCAUAGAUGGGUUGAAGUCUGCUACCAACCUUGCUUUGGAAGCUGUUGGUGAAGAAAAUGAAGCUACUCCAGAUGUUGUGAAGACUGAUAUGACAUGUAACAAUCAUAACUCUAUCUUUGAAGAUUGUUUUGAUUCCACUUUAAACCACACAUCACCAACUUUCUCACCAAAACCGUCACCCAAACCAUCUCCAGAACACACUUCGUCACCUGUUCAACAAUCAAAACCCGUGGUGGAGUCUCUUAACCCAACACUUAUCAUUCAUGUUCUAGAAAAUGCUAUAAAUCUAGUUGAAUCUGAACAUCCCGCUGGUGAAUUCACUGAUGAUCAGAAACACUUGAGAUACUUUUAUGACUCUGAAUAACCACCACCUUUUAACACCAUGCAUGUACCCCCCAUAGAUGUUUCUAGUGGGAAAGCUUCUUUUGGCUCUAAGUCAGAAACUGAAGAAGCUGAUUUUGUUGCGUCGCUAGAUCUUAAAUAUGUAACUCUCUCACUUGUAUUUAUCAUACCUCUCCAAGAUAUCCCUAUUUAAACCUUCACACAACAACUACAAACAGACCAAGCAUGUUUUGCUGAAACAAUGUCUGAAUAUAUUAACUUAUCUGAUCAAUUUGAAGCUCGUUAUGUAACCUUAGAUCAACCAAAACCUGAACCUUCACAAAAAACUCAACCUUCAACUGAACCCCAACCUACAUUUGAAUCCCAAACUCAUCCCUCACCUAAAAUUACACCCUAAACCUCACCUCAAUCUACACCUCAACCAAAACCUAGUCCUGUUCAGAAUCAAUCUGAAGUCCAAGUUACCUAUGAACCUCAUAUUGAGACUAAACAAGCUUAUUUGAACCAACCUCAACCUGAAACCCACCUUAAUCAAACUGUUCAAGAAGACUAACCAUUUGACCACCUCUCCCUCAAAAGAACAGAUGUUGUGUAAGAACCUUACACAAUAAUCCUAUCCAUUCGAUCACAAUCUGGAAAUCCACAAAUAUGAAUUCCACCUCCUCCACCUUAUAUCCAAACCCAAAUGGAAGAAAUCAAAAUUGUUUUCCUUGAUAGAGUUCAUAAUCUGGUUGCCGAGAGAACCACAGGUUCUGACCCAUUAACUUAUGCUGCUAAAUGGGAUUCUCUCACAACCUUUGAGGUAUCAGUUUUUCAGAAUCUGGAGUAUAUCUCCUAAAAGUCAGUUGCCUCUACCAGUAAGAGACAAGAGCUUAUGGAAGUAAAGUUGGCUUCUGUUGGUGCUAAUCAAGAAGCCAUGGCUAACAAGCAGAAAGAGAUGGAUGAUAGGAUGAAGGCUAUGGAUGCUAGACAAGAUGUCAUGGGUGCUAAUAUGAAAGAAAUUAUGAAGCUUCUAAAGUAGAAACCUUAGGCUCUAGUCACCCUAUAUUUUUAUCUUGUCUGAACAUUUGAAUCACAUAUUUUUUGGUUAAUGAAAAACUUUUCUCAGUAUCUUUUAUGUCCUUAUAUUUAUCUUUUUGUUGAUGACAAAAAGGGGAGAGAUAAAGAAUAUUUAAGCACCUGAAUCUGAUGAUCAUUCUACUACUGCUUAAUAUAGUUACUGAAGAUUAAUAUUAUUGUGCUAUUAAAGGAAUUUAAUUAACUGGAUAGGAAUUAGGGGGAGCUUACAAACCUCAUCCUAUGGAAUAUCAGAUCAUGAGGAGCUUACAAACCUAAGACCCUAAAGUCAACAUGAGGAAUCUGAAUCAGAAGAUCAUACUCAUCCCUACAUUUGAAUCCCAAACUCAUCCCUCACCUAAAAUUACACCCUAAACCUCACCUCAAUCUACACCUCAACCGGAACCUAGUCCUGUUCAAAAUCAAUUUGAAGUCCAAGUUACCUAUGAACCUCAUAUUGAGACUAAACAAGCUUAUUUGAACCGACCUCAACCUGAAACCCACCUUAAUCAAACUGUUCAAGAAGACCAACCAUUUGACCACCUCUCCCUUAAAAGAACAGAUGUUGUGUAAGAACCUUGCACAAUAAUCCUAUCCAUUCGAUCACAAUCUGGAAAUCCACAAAUAGGAAUUCCACCUCCUCCACCUUAUAUCCCAAACCCAAAUGGAAGAAAUCAAAAUUGUUUUCCUUGGUAGAGUUCAUAAUCUAGUUGCCGAGAGAACCACAGGUUCUGACCCAUUAACUUAUGCUGCUAAAUGGGAUUCUCUCACAACCUUUGAGGUAUCAGUUUUUCAGAAUCUGAACUAUAUCUCCUCAAAGUCUGUUGCCUCUACCAAUAAGAGACAAGAGCUUAUGGAAGUAAAGUUGGCUUCUGUUGGUGCUAAUCAAGAAGCCAUGGCUAACAAGCAGAAAGAGAUGGAUGAUAGGAUGAAGGCUAUGGAUGCUAGACAAGAUGUCAUGGGUGCUAAUAUGAAAGAUUAUGAAGCUUCUAAAGUAGAAACCUUAGGCUCUAGUCACCCUAUAUUUUUAUCUUGUCUGAACAUUUGAAUCACAUAUUUUUUGGUUAAUGAAAAACUUUUCUCAGUAUCUUUUAUGUCCUUUUAUUUAUAUUUUUGUUGAUGACAAAAAGGGGAGAGAUAAAGAAUAUUUAAGCACCUGAAUCUGAUGAUCAUUCUACUACUGCUUAAUAUAGUUACUGAAGAUUAAUAUUAUUGUGCUAUUAAAGGAAUUUAAUUAACUGGAUAGGAAUUAGGGGGAGCUUACAAACCUCACCCUAUGGAAUAUCAGAUCAUGAGGAGUUUACAAGCCUAAGACCCUAAAGUCAACAUGUUAAUUUAAUCAACAACCAUUGUUCUUGAAUACUAUUGUUUGUCAUCAUCAAAAAGUGGGAGAUUGUUGGAACAAAAUUGGUUGAUACCAUAUCCCUUGGGUUUUGAUAAUAAUAAAGUAUUUAAAUAACAAUUGGUUAUUCUAACAUUUUUUCAAGUAUACAUGACUAAAUGAUUGAGAACAAAAGAAGAGAUGCAUGAGGAAUCUGAAUCAGAAGAUCAGACUCUAUUUCUGAAGAGUAGUUCUGAAGACUCUUCCUCUGGUGGUGUUCCAGACUCUAAAGAAGUCAACUCUGAAGAAAGUCAGUCUCUAGUGACCCACUCUCUAAAGCUUCAGAAGCCAAGAAAUGGAAUUUGAUGUGAUCAACCUCUGAAGAGUGAAGUCUGAAUAAAGUCAACCGCUAAAGAAUAAAAUCUUCAACUGAGGAAACUCUAACAAACUCAAAUACUUUUUGAUUACGUGAAGACUUAAGGAAAAAUCUAUCUCUUGGUUGUCUGAGUUUCAACGGAUUAUUUCUCUUGUAGAAAGGUGCUUUGUUGACGUGUCUAAUCAAGUACAAAGCUAGCCCAACCUUUUGGUGAAAGUCUCCAAUCUCUCCUUUCUCCCUCAAUAUCUAAGGAGUUGAAGGGCUAAAGAAGAAGAUUACCAAGCUUCAAUAUAACACAGUGCUACAAACUCUAAACAUUGAAAUUCAAAGAAAAGCUACUAUGUCAAAUUUACAAGACUUAGAACAUCUUAACAUUGUGUAUAUUUAGAAGUUCUUAAGUCUUAGAGUAUUUCUAAGUUUUAUUUUGUCUACACCUUUAAUUGUAUUUCAAGUGUAGUUGUUAACCAAAUCUCUUAACAGUUUGUUAUAAAGUCAGAAGUCUCUUGCUUUAGUGCUUGAGCAUUUGAAGUCUUUAGAUUAUGUGCUAGAGCAAGGAAGUCUCAAACUUGUGUGUUUGAGCAAGGAAGUCUUGAGCUUGUGUGCUUGAGCAAGGAAGUAUUAUACUUAUGUGUGUAAGAAAAUAAGUCUCUUGCUUGUGUGCUUGAGGAUUUGUAAUCAAUUUGGUUAUAAUGGAAAACCCUUGGAAAUACAAGGGGACUGGACUACUCUCAAGUUGUGAUAGGAACCAAGAUAACUUCUUGUGUCUCUUGCUUUACUUUACUUGCUUAUGUACUUAAAUAUUUUUCUACUGUAAACUCCGAUCCUCUAAGUCAGAUUCUGGUUCAUAAUUUGAUAAGGUCUUUCAGAAGUCAAUCUAGUUUUCUAAUCCAGACUCUGAACCAAGUAUUUAAACUCUGGUUGAGAAACAUCAGAAGCAGAAGCUGAAAACACUUAAAAGACGAAAAAGCCAACACAGUUCAAUCCCUUCUUGUGUUUUUCUCACCUUCAGCUUCAUACUCUCGAAGAGAAGUUCAAAGCUCUGAAGGUGCAUGACACUCCUGAACAUGACAUUGAUGACAUGUUCCAGGUGCCAGACCUGGUUGUCCUGCAAAAAUUCAAGGUGCCAGAUUUGGAAAAAUACAAAGGAGUCAGUUGUCCCCUGACUCAUCUAAGGGCAUAAUGUCGGAAGAUGGCUGUAUAUGUUGAUAACGGCAAGUUGUUGCUUCACUACUUCCAGGACAACCUCACUGGGGAACCUUGGAAUUAUAUAUGCAACUUGAGAGGAACCAUAUCCAAUCUUGGAGGAACCUUGUUGAGGCGUUCAUCAAGCAUUACUAGUAUAAUACAAACAUGGCUCCUAAUUGCACCCAAUUGCAGGACAUGUCGUCGAGGAGCAACAAGUCAUUUAAAGAGCAUGCACAACGAUGGAGAGAGCUUGCCGCUAGGGUCUGUCAUACCCUCAAAUUUGCCUUACCCCAUAUCAUCUUCUUGAGCCCUAAACUUUAAGCAUACAUAUCAUAUGCAUUUAUACUCAAUGGUCAUAAUAACCCACAAGCCUAAGGCAUGAGAUUCAUCUGCAAAGACCUAGGAUCCUCUAGUCAUGUUGAGGUGUUCCAAAGCCACCUUAACCCUAAUAUAAUCCUCAAGUAUCCUACAAAUCUUGGAGGAUCACUCAAGACAUCUCACUCACUCCCCAAGUCAAAUUUGGGUGGUGAGUCCCCUUUGAAGAGCUUCAAGAUUCAUCUGGUCACUCAAGGACCAAACUCUAGCUCUUGGCCCUCCUUUUGGCUUGUACAAGUUAUGAUUCACCAUGGAUCUUGACAAUGCCAUCAAGGACCCCUUAAAUCCAAAGUUUGUUCAUGCCCCAUGGCCUUUAAACAUCUCAAUUGUACCCCUACAACUCAAACCCUAAUUCAUCUGACCAUGGUUCUUGAUGAAACUUGUGGCUCAAGAAACCCUAACUUGGGGACUUCUUGACUAUCGAGCUUGAUCAUUUUUGUCCAUUAAAUCACCAUAACAUUCAUUUAACAUAAUUUCACGUCCAUUAAAAUUCAAAUCAACCAUUUAAACAUCCUUUCAAUUCAUGUUACAAGUAGUUGGUUCAUACAUGAUUUUUCAACUUUCCAUGGCUUUAUCCACCCACCAAUUUUACCUAAAACCAUUCCACAAAGGCCCGAACUUCAUUUCCCAUAAUUAUAUGAUCAUUUUUGGUCGAAAUAUCUAUCAUUAUGGAUUGAAAAGCAAGAAACCACAAAAACCCUAAAACUAGGUCAUGUUGGUUGGUCACAUUUUGCAAGAAUGGCCUAUCAGAAGUUCCAAAGACCAUAACUUCUUCAAUUUUCAAUAUUGUUAUGUUAAACUUUGAGACAAAUGUCCUAAAUAACUUCCUUUCCAGUUUUUUUUCAAGGUCCAAGACCUAACUCAUUGAGGAAGAGGUUCAAUUUUGCUAUUGGCCAAGUUGGUCCAACAUGCCUACUAUGCCCAAAAAUCAUGUCAUGACCCCUACUUUGGCAUGUUGUCAUUUCCUAAACACAAUCCCUUUUGACCCGGUUCUUUUGCAUUUAAUCAAUUUCUUAGCAAAGAACAAAUGGCCCAAAAUUGAAGCAAAAUGCACGAGCCAAUUUUGUUUGGCCUUGGUUCAAGCAUGGAGGUUCAUCCUGAUCAGCACACAUGAUACACCACAGUCAGAAUGUCCAAAUCAACAUACCAAGUCCCCUAACUCAUUUAUUUUGGUCCCUUUGGUGCACAAACACAUAACAAAUGGUAUCAAGGUAUGAAUCAAGGUCAGAAUGCAAGCCAACACUCCUCACAAAGCAAAACCCGACCCCAUGUGCAAAAUCAGAAAUUUAUCAACAUGGCAAAAACAAUUUUUUGCAGCAGGCCAAUUCUUUGCUCUUGCUUGUUCCAAGUCCAUGCUUGGGACCAAUAUAAACCUUCCUGCAGUGCAAAUGGCCACAUAUGCUAGUCGUUUCAAUGUUCCCCAAGUCAACUCCAACCAACCUCCCACUCACAUGUGAAAUCGGUCAAAACCUUCAAGGUUUCCCUCCAAAACCAUCCAAACACCUUUGCUAUAAAUAGGUGAAGUUGUCCCAAUGCAAAACCAUGCCGAAAAAGGCCCCCGUCACUCUAUGAACAGUUGAGCUGAACCACCAUUAACAGACCAUCGAGUUUUUGAUUCCAAAGCUUUAUAACCAUAAAUCUCUGCCCAAAAACACGCUACACACUUCACUUGAGCUUUCCAAACACCUCACCAACCCUCCCUGAGCCUCAAAUGACCUGAGCUCAGUCGUCAGAAAACUUAUUUGAGCAAACUCUGAUCAGGUAGAAAUACUCAUGCCCACCUUUGAAAAAAAUUCCUAACCCCUUCGAAAUCAUCCAUAGAACAUUUCCCCUAACCUUUUGGCUCUGAUUAAUUGGUUUCUAGAAUUUAAUUUCAUUUUUAGGUUAACUGAGCUCUUCAUUUUUUAGUUCGAAACUCCCAACUCAUUCCGAACUAAAGUCGAAUUAGUAGAGUCGCCACCGAAUUUUAUUUAUGCGCCUCUUGCUGGAGAGGUAAGGGGAAAUAGUCGAUAAAACCCUCAGAAAGGUAAGCGUACAAGAAGUGCUACAAAAAGAAUAAGGAAUAGGUCUCGCAACCGAGAUUAGGAUUCAGAAAUCAAUUACACGAGGGGAAUGUAUUAGCACCCCUCACGUCCAUGGUACUCCAUGGGAACCAUUUGGGUUGUUUUUACAUACAUGUAAAGUUAUAUGCCAUUGCUUUAUUUUUUUAAAGAAUGUGCGAAAGAGGGGGUGUUUUUGUUAUUAUAGUGCUCGCCAAGGAUUUGGGCCCUUGUGCUAACGUAUCACUCAUUCAGGGAUGAGGAACCAUAGCUCCGUAGUUUGGAAUAGAGAAUGUUUGUGUGUUGGUUGAAUUUACCUUUGAGAAAAGGGUUUUUGGGUUGAUGCCGUAAGGCACCAAAAAUAAGGUUUGAUGGUUUAUGUUGAUUUUACCUUAAACAAGGGUUUGUGAAAGGAGUUUGUGAUUAUAUUCUAAAGUCUAUAGGCAGAGGUGAAUAUUCUAGAUAACAAGCCAAGUGUCUUGCAUCCAAAAUAAUCAGAGUGAGGGUAGGAAUGCUCCAUUCUUACUCAUUCUCCACCACUUAAGGCUCGUGAUGCACAAUACUAAUCGUAGUUAUUAAGUAUUUUGAGUUUGAUUAUGAAAAAGUCGUUUGAUGUUGGAUCAAGGGUUUGUUUAUUUGAUUGUGGAAAAUGUGGCUAAUGCAACAUGAAUGCAAAAUAACCGACAAGGAAAUAAAAAGGGUCUCAUUGUAAGGUAGCCCAAGAUAAAGCCUUAUGUAUGUAAAAGUGUGACCUAUUCUAAACCAAAGAUAAUGGUCUUACAAACAUGUUCCCUGAAGGUGAUUCCAUGAUGCCAUUCUUACAACUAGAAUGUAGUUUAUAGAUGAAACCCAAGUGUUUUACAAAGUAUCAUAAAGAAAGUAAUGAAAGGCCUCCAAGCUAAGGUCCUAAAUGGAAUCCUCUAAGUCCAAUUGGUUAAGUGUUUUGGUCUUUUAAUUUUAUCAUGUUUUAGUUGUUUUUGAAUGAUGACAAUAGCAAAACGCAAUAGUAAACUAUGUAUGAUGAAUUUGUACAAUGAUAAUAUGAUGAAUAUGUGUGUAACAUAAUAAGUAAAGAACAAUAAUAACAAUGAUAAUAAUAAAAAAAUAUUAGUAAUAAUCAAAGUUAAAAAGGUCAAAGUUAAGGUUUUGGACAACUUUUUAGAAUUAUCUAUCUUUAGGUCAAUAUAUUCAAAAUAUGGCGCAUCGAGGGAUAACUUAUCAGUGAUGCAAAGUAAGGAAGAUGAUUAAUGGAUCAAGUUACACUAGAUUUGCAACAAUGAAAGUUGUUCAACCUCAAGUCCAUCUAUCAAUAGAUUGACAAAAAGAAGACUAUACAACCUAAAAUUGAAUGAUUGAUUUUAGUUGUUUUAGCCAGUUAUAUUGAACCAGAUCAAAUAUUAACAAGUUAUAUGAACUAGAUGCAAUAUUAACAAGUUAUAUGAACCAUAUAAGAUAUUAACAAGUUAUAUGAACCAUGUGAGAUAUUAACAAGUUAGAUGGUUGGUAUAAACAAGUCAAAAUGAUAAUUAACAAGUUAUAAAAGGGUUAGUGAGUUAGCAUAAAUCAAAUGAAAAGGCAAUGUAUCAGAUGAAUUUAUAACUGUACAACUAAGCCUCAUAUAUAAGUCAAAUGAUCCAAGUUGGUUGGUGUGAGGAUAACCUAUCCAUGAUUCAAAGUCCCAUGGAUGAACAUUUGAUUAUCCAUUAGGAGGUUUGAAACAAGGAAGGUUCAAUCAACCCUCACCAAACAAGCAUCAUGACAAAUGAUAGAUUUCAUUGGCCCUUAACUUCAAGACCUCAAAACUCCAUUAAAAAUAAUCCAAAUAAAGUAAAUAAAAUCACCAUUAAAUUCUAGAGAAAAAUAAUAAUGGGGGUUGAUGUUCAACAUUUUUCCAAAAUAAUAAAAAUAAGGGGGUUUAAAAAAUAAAUCAAAAAGAAAAAUAAAGUGGAAAAGUAAAAUAAAAAAAAAUGACAUAAAAUGAAAAAUAAUGGUCAGGGUGCACUCCUCAGGUUCGAACCCCUGACCUUGGGGUCAUGGGGGAAUCUAUCCCCUCACCCACUAGGCCAAUGGCCCAGUUGUGAUAACAAAUAAACCGAAUCAAAUAAAUAAUAAAAAUGCAAAGUAAAUGAGAUACACACGCAAACUAGCCAAUCACAGAGUGACAACAAAAGUUUUCAAAUUUGAAAAACGCGGGUGAUGGUCGUCUUCAACCUUCGACCCCUCAGAAUCAAAACUUGAAAUCAUGGAUUUUUAACCACUUUUGAGCAUCAAAACAAGUUACAUUAACAUAAAUAAAGUGUUAUCCCCACUCAAGAGCCAGUGAUUGGCUAUAAGUUGGGAGUUCCGAACUAAAAACGAUACAUGGAACAUCAUGGUUGCCACGAUCUAAUAUUUAGCCAAAAAAGAAGGAAUUAAAUGUCUGGGUAUUAGCCAAACAAAUCUAGGGAUAAAUGCAGAUUUCCGCUAUAUCGUCCUAAAAGGGUGUAUAAGGAAUUCCAAAGAAAAUGUGUUUCGAUGUCAAAGAAAUAGUACGUCACUGGGUGAACGAUUUAAUGAUCGAAUGUAGAUAAUGGAUCAUGAAAGAAAUGAAUGGUGCCAUAAGGCGAAGAAGGAAUAAUUAGAAGUAUGCUCGCCAAGGAUUCACAAUCUCGUGCAUAUGUAUUCUCACUGUGCGAUGAGAAAAUCAAAGCAAUCAUAGUUCGUGGAACCAUAAGAAUAGAGAGAGAUAAGUGAUGGAAAGUAUAACUUGCACCAAUAGAAUGGUAUCAAGGGAACCCACAAAUGGAUGGAACUUGGAAUCGAAGAGCAAGGUGGUGUUUACCAAUAUAUGGGCUAGCAUGGCUGCCGCUAUAGGGUAAAGCAAAAAACAAAGACUGAAAUAAGUGUUUGGGUGCCAGCCAAACAACUCUUGAUUCGCAAGACGAACAACCGAUAUAUCCUCCUAAAAUGGUACAGGCGGGGCCCAAGAGAAAGUAUUGUUGUGUACAAGGAACAAUAUAUCACUGGAUGGGGAACAAACAGUUUGAAAUCAAAGGAGAACAUUAUCUUGAAUCCAUGAAGAGAUAGACUCUGAAUCGAAGAGCAAGGUGGUGUUUAAACCCAAAAAGACUGAAUUAAAUGUUUGGGGGUAUGACUCAAACAACUCUCGAUUGAUGAGGUGGACUGCCGCUAUAUCAUCAUAAAAGGAUUUAUAAGGGGUCCAAGGAGAUGUAUAGUUAAUCUCAAAAAUAUGGUAUUGAUUGAUGAAUGAAGAAUGAAAUGUUAAUAAAUAGGGUAGGAUCGAUAAAUAAGGUAGCUCGCGAAGAAACUGGGUUCUCCUGUCUACGUAUCCUUAUAGUGCAAUAAAGAAGUUAGAACUUUUGUAAUUUAGCCCACUAGGGAUGCAAGCAAGGUGAUUAAGGAUGCAAGAGGAGUGAUAGAAUGAAUGAAUGAAUGAAUGAGUGGCAAAGACUUGAUAGUUAUUGGAUAAGAAUCACACUAAAGUCUAUGAGCAAAGGUGGAUACAAUAAGCAACAGGCCAAACAUCCCGCAUCCAAAGAUAUCCAUAAUGAGUGUAGGAAAGCUCUAGUCUCAUUCCUCCUUUACUACUUAAGGCUUGUGGCAUGUAAUUUUCAUCUUAACUUUCAAGUUGAAGGAGAAAGUUUGUUGUUGUUUCCUGCAAUGAUGAAGUGAGAGACUUGAAAGUUGAUUGAUGAGAAUCAUACUAAAGUCUAUGAAUAAGGGAGAACGCUUUGAAUAGCUAGGGCCUAUGCCCCGUACGCAAAGUCGCUCUAGAUAAGGAUAGGAGAAACCCCGUCUUAUCAUUCCUUAUUACCUAAGGCUCACGAUGUAUGAUACUUCUUAUAACUGAAAAGUUAUUGGGGAAGAAUCUUCUUUAUAACUCCUUGUGUUGAUGUUGUUUUGUGUGAAGAAGAAUUGGUAGUUUAUUUGAUUUGUAUUGCACUAAAGUCUAUGAAUAAGGGAGAAUGCUUUGAAUAGCUAGGGCCUACGCCCCAUAUGCAAAGUCACUCUAGACAAGGAUGGGAGAAACUUCGUCUCAUCAUUCCAUGUUGCUUAAGGCUCAUGGCGUAUGAUACUUCUCAUAACUGACAAGUUGUUGGAGAAGAAUCCUCAUUGCUGCUCCUAGAAUUGAUAUUGAUUUGUAUGAAGAAUACUUGGUAGUUUACUUGACUCUCAUUGCACUAAAGUCUAUGAAUAAUGGUGAAUGCUUUGAAUAGCUAGGGCCUACGCCACAUACGCAAAGUCACUCUAGACGAGGGUAGGAGAAACUCUAUCUCAUUUUUCCUUAUUACUUAAGGCCCGUAUCGUACAAUUUGAAUCGUAUUUACCAAGUGUUGAACUUUGAUUUAUCUUGUAUAAACCGCUGCUUGGUAUGACUGAAGCCGCCUUGAUUGAAGAUCUGACUUAAGGCCUCGAGCUCCACAGCUUAAAGAAAAAGUCUUAUUAAGGGACCAAAGGUCUUUUGGUCACUCAAAUUAGACUGUGGGAUUAUACAAGAUCAAAGGAUUUAGUUGAUCAAAAUUGCUUUUGAUCAACUUGAAUCGAGGGUUUGAUUUGAUUUUGAGAAUUAGGUUAAUCCUAAUCUAAGGGUUACAAUGUUACAAAUUAAUCUAAGGGAUCACACAAUUUAUUUUGAAAAGAAAUAACUAUAUAGUCCUAAAAUCAUUAAUCUAAUUAUUUGACCAAAACAAAUUUAAUCAAUUAAUUAGAUAAAGGCAAACGGGAUCACGCAAAAAAUUGGUUAAACUAUAUACAUCAAAAACCAUGAAAUUAUGAAUUAAAGUCAAAUGAACUAAUGAUUAAAUUAAUGCUAACAUAUAACCCUAAUUUUAUCUUAAUCCUAAUUUAUUUACUAAUUAGGGAUUUUAAUUCUAACCUAAACUUGACCCUAGCUUAGAAUUAAUAAUCCUAAUUAAUCAAGAAUUUUUAUUAAUACAAAAAAACUAAAUUAACUCUAAUUAUGCAAAGAUAAAAUCUAAUCCUUUUUUUAUUGAAAAUUAUAAAUUAGAUUCAUUUUAUCUAAUCUAGCAACCAAUCACAUACAAGGAUGUGGCCAAUGUAAAUUGAACUUAAAACAAGAAUAAUAGAAAGGAGGGAUUACAACCCAUUACAAGAAUAAUAGAAAAACUUACCAUUCAUCCACAAAAUUUACAAUUUUGCUAAUAAUAAGAAAACGUAAUUCAGUUGAAAACAAAAUUCAUUUAUAGUUAAUAGAUAAUAUAUUAUUCUACUAAAUUAUUAUUUAUUAUUAUUAACAAUAACAUAAAUAAAAAGAAUUAAAAGUGAAAAAAAUGUUAAACCAUAACAUGAUUAUCUAUAAACGGCUAUCAUACAUCAACAUGAGCAUAUGAAUUAAUAUCCUAUAAAACAUAACGGUAGCAAUUUGUUCCACUAGAAAUGUGAGGAUUUGCAGCAUUAGCUCGCUGGCUCAUUUCUUCUUGCAUAUUCGCCAUGAUUUCCUGGCCUCUUGCUAUCUCCUGUAUAGUCUUCAUUAGCUUCCCCAUCUGGGACUGUACCUGGGAUACCUCUUCCUAGCGUGCAACUUGAUUCUGUUGAAGUUAUUCCAUGACCACUUGCUGGUGUCUUCGGUUGUUAUACCGGAAAAUCAGCUUCGGGAGUGGGGUUCUGAUCAGAAGAAAGGCGAAUGGAUGAGUUUUUAUGCUUUUAUGUUUUGAAAAAAAUGCAAAUGAUGCAUGAAUUUUGUUUCUUAUGUUAAUGUAAAUCUCUUUUAAUUAAUCGUGUUUAUUCAUUGCGAGAAUUACUUAACGAUUUAUUUUCACAAUCAUAGAUAAAGGAAAACACAAUAGAGGGAAAUACAAAGCUUUUAUUCAUCCUUUAAAGGGGAAUACAAGUUAUAAUACAUGGAAGUUGCAAAGUAGAGGAAACAAAUAAACUAACUAGAUGUAAACCCUGAAAGUGACCCCUUGAGACUUACGGAGAGCCUCAAUGUCAGUAAUGAGUUCGACCAUCGUCUUCUUGCAUAAUUUGAUGAAGUGAUAGACCUUCUAUGGAGUAUUAUCUGGGCACGUGAUCAUAUCAACUUCCUUCAACUUGUAAGGAAAGUCUUGAAGGGCAUAGUUAGUCAGUACCACCAUGUUGGUGUAUUUGUCCCUCCACUCAUUGUAAAUGGUUUAGAGGUUGUGGAUGAUUCCAUCCCUAUGAGCAAUGGCAGCUUCGGCCCCAUGGAAACACUCCUCCUAUUGUCUAAAAUUGUUUUGUAACUCCACAUAGGCUUGGUCAUAGAUCCCCCUUUUUAGAUUCUUGAUUUUCUCGCAAGCUCGUCCAAGGUUGAACUGCUUACACAAGAAGCUUCGGUGAAUCUGCUCUCUCUCUAUAGCUGUUCCUUAGCUAGGAGAUCCUUAUACUCCUUGAGAGUGGUCCUCAGUUCAUGAAGUUGGGCUUCAUAGUCUUCCCUCGCUUCUUUCUUCAUUGCAUUUGACCUCUCGACAAUUUUCUCAAGGUCCCUAAUGACUCGGUGAGCUUGAUCCAACUUGUCGUUGCGGAAGUCUAGCUUAGAAUUAGCUCCUUGUAGAGCUCUACUAACCCAAAAUCUCUGUUCCUCGGCUAUUCGGAGCCUCUUCUUGUUAUCCUCUAAUUUUUCACAAACUUGCUUACCCUUAUCCUCCAAUACGUGAUUACAUUCCAUGGCACGAUUGAGUUAGACUCGUAAUUGAGUGUUCUCCAACUCCAACUCUUUGAUUUAGUUGGGAAGUUUGUACAUGUCCUCUUGUAGGAUAGGCUUAGGCUCAUGCAUCAGCGGGAAUGAAGAAGGAUCAAACAGAAACGACAUCCUAACAACCUUAUCCCUCUCUUUUCCCCACACAAAGUAGGGUUCCUUGGCUAGGAUGUUUUUCUUACCCCAUUCUUGGUCAAUACAGACUAUGUUUGUCCAUGCUUUCCGCACUCUCUUCACAUUUGAAUCGAGCGGGUCCACGAUAUUUAUGAUGAAUCGAAUGAAGUCUUUUUUCCUUUGGAGGACUCAACAUGGUGUAUCCCAGUUGUCUCUUGAGUAUAGCAGGGUUGUAGUUGGUGCAACCUUGUGUUUCGAUUAAGGGUAUGUUUGGCAACCCUCUGCAUUUUGCAAUGACUUCUCUCAUAUCCCAUUCUCUCUUGCACCAUAAAAUCGAGUUGUCGGAGAGAGAUGCGAACUUCUGAGGCAAUGUCAGAUUGCUUUGAGUAAAAGGCCCACAUUGAGGCAUGAGGUCCCUCAUCCAUAGAUGCAAUAGAGAAGCACAACAGAGGAAAGUACCCCCCAUUCUUCUCAUGCCUUGUAUGAAAGGUAUGAUAAAAGUCGGCAAGUAGGAAAGGCACUAGAUUCUUCGUCAGAAAGACUUCAACUGUCAAGUGAUCCACACACUUUUCUACAUUUGGAAAGAGAACAAUUCCGUGAAUCAGGAGGAGUGCCAAGGUUGCGCUGCAGAAUUCAGGUUUUUUUUCUUUAAACAUUUCCCAGGCAUGGUGUCAUACCCCAAAAUUUGCCCGUUAAUCUUUCAAGACACUCCAACUCAUUGUUCAAGGCAUUGAUCUUAAAAGAACAAAGACCCAACACAUAGGUGGCCAAAUCCAGAAAAUGGCCCAAACUGGCAUGCUCGCUAGGCGAGCAACUCCUUCGCCUAGCGAACCCUUCGCUACGCCACCCGCCUAGCGAAGCUUGCGAAUACCAGAAAAUUAUGGGCUUCAUUCUGAGCCCAUCAGGUCACAAAAAUUAUUAUAAAUAGCAGAGCUUCAUUCAGAAAAAGGGGACAGAGGUAGACGAACAGGAACCCUAGCAAGGAAACCCUAACAGAAGCAACACAGCAAACCCUGGAGGCUAACCCAGAGAAUUCAGAGCAACCCUCAAGGAAACCCUGAAGGAAACUCAUCUGCACCAAGGUUACCUCCGCCCAACAACCCAGAGAAUUCAGAGCAACCCUCAAGGAAACCCUGAAGGAAACUCAUCUGCACCAAGGUUACCUCCGCCCAACUCAAUCCGGCGCCAACCCUAAGAGCGACUUGCCAAUUCAAGGUUGCAAUUCAAUUGCAAACAGGUUUGCAUUACUAUUACCGCUUUAUGCUCUUAAAUUGCAUGUGGCAUUAUGAUUGAAUCUAUAAAGACAUCUUAAGUUCUUGCAUGUGAAUUUAAGUAUGUAUGAAUAUCUUGAACGUUUAACCAUGUAAUUUCUGUAAGGGAUGCCAUAGGGUUUGGAGCUUUCUGGAAUUGUACUGUUACCAAAACCAGAACCCGCAGCCGCUCGCGAGCACAUCGCUAAGCGAGCAUGUAGCGAGUAUUCGCUAAGCCUUCGCUAGGCGAGGCAGGGGCGAACGUGACAGUCGCUGAUUUUUCUGUUCUGUUCUAUGCUUCUCUGAUCUGUUUUAUUAUCACCAUGCAUUGUUUACCUGACAUCAGUACUGUUUGUGAUUCCUUUUGUUUGGUGCAAUUCUCGAUUGCACCCUGAUUUGGUAUUCUGACCUGUUUGCUGAAUUUGGUAAGGGUUCACAUACUCCCGGAGAAGGUAGCUUGCUAGGUGUUCCACUUUAUUUGUGGGAUACCCUUGUGGAGAUUCACCCUAAUUACCUAAUUGAUUAUAAUGUGGACCUAAUUACCUAAUUGAUUACAACUACCUAACUGAUUGUAAAAUAUUGCCUUUGAAUAUGUGAUCUUGGACCUCUUUGUUGCCUUACGGUAUUACGGUAUUAUGGUCAUGUCCCUCGGUGACCCGUCAUUGUAGCCUACGGUUAAAUGAUGAUCGUCCCUUCGAAUGCUAAGGUAUCCUUACAGAUGUUGCCUUCAAUGACCAAUCGAUGACCCUACGAUGACCCUUUUACAUCCAAAGGAUAAAACUACUUACUUCUCAAUAAUAAGGACAGUUUUACCCUCAUAAGGAUAGGAAAUGCCCAUAAAGACCUUGGGUCGGUAUAACUCUUAAUUGCUGGCUCACAACNNNNNNNNNNNNNNNNNNNNNNNNNNNNNNNNNNNNNNNNNNNNNNNNNNNNNNNNNNNNNNNNNNNNNNNNNNNNNNNNNNNNNNNNNNNNNNNNNNNNNNNNNNNNNNNNNNNNNNNNNNNNNNNNNNNNNNNNNNNNNNNNNNNNNNNNNNNNNNNNNNNNNNNNNNNNNNNNNNNNNNNNNNNNNNNNNNNNNNNNNNNNNNNNNNNNNNNNNNNNNNNNNNNNNNNNNNNNNNNNNNNNNNNNNNNNNNNNNNNNNNNNNNNNNNNNNNNNNNNNNNNNNNNNNNNNNNNNNNNNNNNNNNNNNNNNNNNNNNNNNNNNNNNNNNNNNNNNNNNNNNNNNNNNNNNNNNNNNNNNNNNNNNNNNNNNNNNNNNNNNNNNNNNNNNNNNNNNNNNNNNNNNNNNNNNNNNNNNNNNNNNNNNNNNNNNNNNNNNNNNNNNNNNNNNNNNNNNNNNNNNNNNNNNNNNNNNNNNNNNNNNNNNNNNNNNNNNNNNNNNNNNNNNNNNNNNNNNNNNNNNNNNNNNNNNNNNNNNNNNNNNNNNNNNNNNNNNNNNNNNNNNNNNNNNNNNNNNNNNNNNNNNNNNNNNNNNNNNNNNNNNNNNNNNNNNNNNNNNNNNNNNNNNNNNNNNNNNNNNNNNNNNNNNNNNNNNNNNNNNNNNNNNNNNNNNNNNNNNNNNNNNNNNNNNNNNNNNNNNNNNNNNNNNNNNNNNNNNNNNNNNNNNNNNNNNNNNNNNNNNNNNNNNNNNNNNNNNNNNNNNNNNNNNNNNNNNNNNNNNNNNNNNNNNNNNNNNNNNNNNNNNNNNNNNNNNNNNNNNNNNNNNNNNNNNNNNNNNNNNNNNNNNNNNNNNNNNNNNNNNNNNNNNNNNNNNNNNNNNNNNNNNNNNNNNNNNNNNNNNNNNNNNNNNNNNNNNNNNNNNNNNNNNNNNNNNNNNNNNNNNNNNNNNNNNNNNNNNNNNNNNNNNNNNNNNNNNNNNNNNNNNNNNNNNNNNNNNAGCAAUUAAGAGCCCAUGGAUAACCAUGGAUACAAAGGGUGCUAACACCUUCCCUUUGUAUAAUGUACCUCCCGAACCCAAAAUCUAAAUUAAGGUCUUUCCUGUUCUUUUCCACCUUUCCUUAUUGGAUAAAAGAAAAGUCGGUGGCGACUCUUGCUAUCCGCGACAUUUGCUUUCCAAAGCAAAAACACACAAAGUCAGUUCACCGUAUGACACAUGGUCUUUAAGGAACUUAUGGGUCAAUACCUUGACUGAACCCUUAACACCCUAGUUGGCCACUAGCUUGUUGGCGUUGAUACCCAAGGCGAGUGAGAGCUCGAUCAAGAAGAAACCUUCUUCCAAUUGGGAAAGAGGUUAUACUCUUUGAUUGAUCGGUUGAGGAGCCUCUCAAGGUCUUCCAAAGUUGGAGAGAUUUGGAAGUCAGGGAAAGUGAAGCACCUAAAGGGGACGUCAUAGUACUGGGCCAUUAUACUGAUAACACCAUAAUCAACCUUCUUAGUUAGAAGAUCUAUUAUAUUCCCAAAGUUGGCUCUGAACUUGUUGUCCUUGAAGGUUGUCACCUUUGUGCUUGGUGGAAUAUACUAUGUGACCAUUGGUCUAGGCUGGCCAUGGUUAAAGGUUCUAAAAAAAGGGUCUUAGGGUCACUUGAUCGCGACUUAAUGAGUCGAAUUUGGGGUACAAACUGCAAGUGCACAGUUCUAUCGCGUAGUUUUAAAAGAUAUCGAUCCCACAGGGACUUAUGAAUCGAUAUACCGUUUUCUAAGGUUACUUCGUAAAGCUAAGGCGGAUAAUACUNUAAAUGAAACAUUGUCCCCAAUGUUUUAAGGAAAUCAAAAGAAAUACAAAAAGAAAAGGAAAUUAAAUCAAUGCUGCCUUCCGCCUCUUGUUCUUGGACCUGGUGAUCGUUGACGUACUUCUAAGUCUUCGAACUUGCUGAGCAACUCAGUGAACCGCUGAUCGGUUAUAGCAUUCCUCGCUUCCUAUUGUUGUUGCAUUUGGCACAUCAUUUGCAUCAUUUCGAGAUUUUGCGCUUGCAUACCAUCAAUAGCAUCCAUGAUGUCGUCGUUGGUUGCAGGUCUUCUUCAUCGACGACGUCGUGAGGAUGGGCCAGCUGCAUUAUCGGAAGGGUUGAGCAGGACUGAUUGUUGUGCAGGAGCGUGAUCACCUAGCUCCAUUUCUUCGAACUCGUCUGAAGACGGGUUUGCAUGUGAAGGCUCGGUGGCUUCGGGAGCAUUCAGAUCAUAGAGGUGGCGGUUGGGGUUGGUGACAUCCGUUAGGGCAAUGUUGGGUAGAAUAACGCUUGGGACUUCCUGGUUGUUCACCAUAAGGUAAUACUUUCCGCCUACUCUGUUCUUAAUUAGGCGGCUGGACCGACAGUAGCUUAUAUCCAUAAUUAGGGGAGGUAAAGAUUCUAAAGUUUGGAGUCGGUCCCCUAGGUUUAAGCCAAGUGCUAUGGUGGUGAUUAAUCCACCAAUUACAAAAGGUUGACGGCCUCUAGCACAUAAGGUGCGGAUAUGAUGAAAUAGGAAGGAGGCGGCGUUUACCUUAGCAUUCGGUUCGAAGACGCAUUCGAGGAAGAAUAAUUCCUUUGCGUUGACCUUGCUGUUGUUCGGUCUUCCAAAAACUGUGUUUUGUAGGAUGCGGAUAAAGUACCGGAUAGUUGGGUUAUGUAUAUGGGAAACAAGGAGCUCUUCCCAGUUGUUGGCAUCUACACCGGAUAUUUUCCUAAAGAGGUCGAAAGCGGCAACUGUGUUCCAGUUUAGGUUUGGAGGGAUUCUGGGGUAGACUUGACCUUCUAUGGGGAAUUGUAGCAUGGUACUCAAUUGGUUUUGGGUUAAGGAGUACUCGGUGUUGAACAUACGGAAGGUUGCGGUACCGGUUAAGAAUUCGUCCUCACCGGUGGGAGUGUUGUACGCAUAUGAACUUAAGAAUUCUAAGGUUAGGGAUGGGUAGGUGGGUUGAUUAUGCGUGCAUAGAAAGGUUAGAUCGGCAAGGCGGAGCAUCCACUCGAUACCUUGAAGUAAUCCUAAUUGUUGUAAACAAGUUGAAUCAGGAUACCUGGUAGAAGUGACACCUCGUUGUUGAAAGCGCUCGAAUUGCUCCCUUUGAUAGUUUUCAUCUUCGGAUCGGAAGAUGAUAUUUCCGAAAUUUUGAUUUCCCGCCAUUGUGAUGAAUUUUUGAAGGGAUGAUUUGGAAAGAAAUGUAUUUGAUAUGAGAGAAUUGUUUUGUGGUGAAUGAAGGAAGUUUUGGUAGGUAUUUAUAGGAGAAGGAUUGGAAGAUAGAAAGAAAAAGUGGUUGAAGAGUAAUUAAGUGUGGUAAAUGAAAAAUGAAUGGGGAAUGUAAAAAAAUAAAAGUGUAACGUUCGUCUCCAACGGCUCCCUAACGUUCACAUGUCUGAGGGGCGUUACGCUCGUCACAAGGCUGUGACGUUCGUAACAGGCGUUUUGCGUGCCGUUCGUCAUGGAGUGUGUGACGCUCGUCACACAGUUCUUUUUGGCAGGGCAUUCAGCAGCGCUUCACAUAAUUAAUCUGGAGAUGAAUUUAUUUUGAUUAUUUUGUUUUAUUUGGUUUUUAGAUUGUUCUAUUUAAUUUAGCUAAUUAAUUUGUGUUGCAUGCUAUUCUAUUUCUCAUAAUAAUAAUUCAUUCUGAGUAACAGUAGAACAGUAGAGAACAUAGCCAUUGCAUAAAUUAAAUAAAUAAAAGCUUUAAUAAAAUUAACAUAAUGUAAUACAGGAAGGGAAAACAAUGAAAUGAAAGGAAAAUAAAUGCGAACAUGAAUUCAAAUAACAUUAAUGAAAAAUCUAGCCUAAAACUAAAUAACUUAGAAAGAAAUAACUAAAUUCCAUCUAUCUUCGGAUCUCUGGCCGGAGGAGCAAAAGAGUUAACAUGAUGCCGUAACAUACGUAACUGACUUGCCGUGCUGCUCAUGUAUUCUAGGACUGCAAGUCUCAAGUUGUGGAAAUCUUCCCUGAGGGCGUCUUGUUCUGACAUCAAAGCUUCAAUGACGGUUUUAAUAUCUGUUCCUGGCAUAUGAUGUCGGAGAUCAGGCAUGGCUGAUUCUUCGGUCAGGACAGGCUGAGGAGGAGGAUCAAUAUCAUAGUAGCCGGAAGGUGUCUGAGGGUCAGAUUCAGCAUGAGAGAUAUGGUCAACAUAGUGCUCAUAGUCAUCACAAAUCUCAUAGUCCUGGAUGGAUUCAGUGGAUCUAGCAGGAGUUGGGGUUUCGUUCAGGUUGUAAAGCCAGUUACUGCUGUUAUGAACGCUAGUCCUAGGAUCGGGCAUGGUGAAUAAGCAAAGAACCUGGUUAUCAAUCAUAAGCUCAAACUCAUCAGACCCUAAGUUCGCUAUGAACAUAGUGUUGAAGAGGAAGGGUAUACUCAUAGUAGUAAUGCCACAAAAAGGGUUCAGGUCAAGCAUAGGCUGACGUAAUCCAAUAGCAUUACCUAUCAUAGUGAUCAAACCGCCUAUUCUAAUGGGUGCUCGCUCAUCCUGGAUAAGGUGGUCCAAAUUAGCUAACAUAAAAGUAGCACCGUUUACUGGACGGUUCUGGGAAGCACAAAAUAUGAUGAAGAGUUCAUCACGUGAAACUGAAGUACUAUUUGGCUUCUUCCCAAAUAAAGUGUGGGUCAGGAUCUUAUGGAAAUAGCGAAAAGCCGGGUUAUGUAUGUUUCCAGAGAGAAACUCAUGUUCUUCGGGCUCAUCAUUUCCAGUCAGCUUACCCCAAAAGUGUUCAAGCUCUCUAUAUUCAAAAAGUUCUUCCUGGCUUACAGUGAAUGUAUCAAAGGAGGUAGGAAAACCCAAAAGGUUGGUGAAGUCUCUAAUAUUAAAUUGGUACUCCAUAUUGAACAUUCUGAACUGGAUAAAACCUCUGCUAAUUCCUUUUCCAUGGCUAGGUAGAUAGAUUAAUGAACUAAGGAAUUCUAGUGUGAGUCUCCGGUAGGUGGUGAAAUGUCUCAGGAUAGGGGAGGUCUCCCAUCCUAUCUGAUUCAGCAAAAACAGGACACUCUGUCUCAGUCCAAGGGCAGUCAUAGCCCAAUCAUCAGCAUAUAAACUAGGUAGCAUCUCUCUAGCGGCUAGUUCUUCAAACCUUCGUUUCUGAGCCAUUCCUCUGAACUUGAUACCCAUACGGUCAAAAUGUCCCAUCUGGUUAGUGUUAACUAGAGAAAAGAAAACAUGAGUUUAAGUCAGGAUUUGGCCAAAUGCCGAAAGAAGAAAAGAAUUAUUAUUAUUAUAUGGAUAUAUUUUUUUUUUUUUUUUGAAUAAAUCAAUAAUGAAUACUAAAUAGAAAUUAAAAGAAUAAUUAAGAGAAAAAUAGAGAAAUGAUAAUAAUAAUAGAAUAAUAAAAUAACAGAUUAAUUUGUGGGUUGUCUCCCACUAAGCGCUUUGUUUAAAUGUCGCAAGCUCGACAAAGAAACUGUUAAAUAUAGUCUAUGAGUCCUGGGGGCGUUUCGUCUAAGUGUAGAAUUUGCGAAUCCUCGUUGGUUUCCGCAUAGUGAUAAUGUUUCAGACGUUGCCCGUUUACGGUGAACGGUUCUGUAGAUUGUCCUUUUAUUUCUACCGCUCCACUGGGAAAGAUUUUAGUGAUAUGAAAAGGUCCUGACCAUCUGGAUCGUAGUUUUCCCGGGAAUAACUUUAGUCUAGAGUUAAAUAAAAGUACUGCGUCGCCUUGCUUGAAGAUUUUCCUUGAUAUACGCUUGUCAUGCCAUUGUUUUGUUCUUUCUUUAUAGAUUUUGGCAUUUUCAUAGGCGUCUCUUCUGAGUUCCUCUAAUUCGUUUAUGUCAAGGAUUCUCUUUUCACCGGCGGCUUUAUAAUUCAAAUUUAAAUUUCUAAUAGCCCAAUAGGCUUUAUGUUCUAAUUCUACCGGGAGGUGACAGGAUUUUCCAUAAAUGAGCUUAAAUGGGGUCGUCCCUAUGGGAGUUUUAUAAGCAGUUCGGUAUGCCCAUAAAGCUUCUGGUAAUUUCAAUGACCAAUCUUUCCUUGAAGUGGCGACCGUUUUUUCUAGUAUUUGCUUGAUUUCUCUGUUAGAUACUUCCACUUGUCCACUGGUUUGAGGGUGGUAAGGUGUCGCUACUCUAUGUCUUACGCCAUACUUAAACAGUAGUUUUUCGAGUACCUUGGAUAUGAAAUGCGAUCCACCAUCACUGACUACUAUUCUUGGGACACAAAAUCUUGGAAAUAUUAUAUUCUUAAAGAGUCUAGUUACUACUCGUGUGUCGUUUGUUGGAGAAGCUAUAGCUUCGAUCCAUUUCGAUACGUAGUCAACUGCCACGAGUAUGUAUUUGUUACCGAAAGAGGAUGGAAAAGGUCCCAUGAAGUCUAUUCCCCACACGUCGAAAAUCUCUACUUCUAAAACGCCCUUUUGUGGCAUCUCGUCAUGUCUAGAUAUGUUUCCUGUGCGUUGACAUCUAUCACAUUUCUUAAUAGCUGCAUGUACAUCCUUCCAUAUAUUUGGCCAAUAAAAACCUGCUUGUAGGAUUUUAGAGCAGGUCUUGGAUGUACUUGCAUGUCCACCAUAAGGAGCGGAGUGACAGUGUUGGAUUAUAUUUUCUACCUCUUCUUCGGGUAUACACCGACGGAAAAUACCAUCGGGGCCUCUUUUAAAAAGUAAGGGGUCAUCCCAGUAAUAGUGUUUUAUGUCAUAGAAGAAUCGUUUCUUCUGUUGGUAGGAUAAAGUAGGUGGAACUAUUCCGGCAGCUAAAUAAUUGACGAGAUCAGCGUACCAUGGUAUGACAGAUAUAGCUAAGGUGGUUUCUACUUGCAUGUCGGAGUUGUUCUCUUCCAAAGUAGCUAUGAGUUUAUCAUACGAGAAAUCAUCAUUAAUGGAUGUUCUUUCUGGUUCAAGGUUCUCAAGUCUAGAGAGGUGGUCUGCUACUACGUUUUCAGUUCCUUUCUUGUCCUUGAUUUCUAAGUCGAAUUCUUGUAGUAACAAGAUCCAUCUUAGGAGUCUAGGUUUAGCAUCCUUUUUUGUUAAAAGGUACCUGAUAGCAGCGUGAUCAGUGUAAACUAUUAUUUUGGCUCCUACCAAGUAAGAACGAAAUUUAUCUAGCGCAAAUACCACUGCUAGGAGUUCUUUCUCGGUUGUGGCAUAAUUCAUCUGUGCUUCAUCCAGGGUUCUGCUAGCGUAAUAUAUAACGUGAAGCUUUUUAUCCUUUCUUUGUCCUAAAACAGCACCUACAGCAUAAUCACUGGCAUCGCACAUUAUUUCGAAUGGUUCAUUCCAGUCUGGUGUCUGCAUAAUGGGUGCGGAGAUCAAUGCUUGUUUAAGAGUUUGAAAUGCUUUUAAACAGUUAUCGUCGAAUAUGAAUUCAGCAUCUUUCAUCAACAGUCCGGUUAAGGGUUUAGUUAUCUUAGAGAAGUCUUUGAUGAAUCGUCGGUAAAAACCGGCGUGUCCUAAAAAGCUUCGUACUUCUCUCACGGUUCUUGGGGGUUGAAGAUUUUCGAUUACCUCUAUUUUGGCUUUGUCUACUUCAAUUCCUCUGUUCGAGAUGAUGUGUCCUAAAACAAUUCCUUCUUGUACCAUAAAGUGGCACUUUUCCCAAUUAAGUACUAAGUUUACUUUUACACAUCGCUCAAGAACUCUUUCCAGGUUUUCAAGGCAUUCUUCGAAACUUUGUCCGUAUACGGAAAAGUCAUCCAUAAAUACUUCCAUGAUGUUUUCGAGAAAGUCGGCGAAAAUUGCCAUCAUGCAUCUUUGAAAAGUUGCAGGGGCAUUACACAGACCAAACGGCAUUCGUCUAUAAGCGAAGGUACCAAAAGGGCAUGUGAAUGUUGUCUUUUCUUGGUCAUCAGGGUGAAUUGGUAUUUGAAAGAAGCCUGAAUAACCGUCUAAAUAACAGAAAUGUGAAUGUUUUGCUAAUCGUUCUAACAUUUGGUCAAUGAAUGGUAAAGGGAAAUGAUCUUUUCGGGUUGCUUUGUUUAGUUUCCUAUAAUCAAUGCACAUUCUCCAUCCCGAUUCGAUUCGUUUAGUUAUAGUUUCUCCUUUUUCGUUUUCAAUAACGGUUAUGCCUCCUUUCUUUGGUACAACGUGUACAGGACUAACCCAUUUGCUAUCAGAUAUAGGAUAUAUAAUACCUGCUUCCAAUAACUUGGUUAUUUCUUUCUUUACUACCUCACUUAGGAUCGGAUUUAGUCUUCUCUGGUGUUCCCUAGAGGUUUUACAGUCUUCUUCUAACAUGAUGCGGUGCAUACAAAUAGAAGGGCUUAUUCCUUUAAGAUCGGUGAUGUGGUAUCCUAGUGCGGUUGGAUAUUUUCUUAAGAUAUGUAGGAGUUUUUCUGUUUCGAGUCUUCCUAGAUCUGCAUUAACUAUCACAGGUCGUUCAAGUUCUAAGUCUAGGAAUUCAUAUCUCAGAUUUUUGGGAAGUGUUUUCAAAUCAGGGGUUGGUUUGUUAAGACACUGCGUAGGAUCCGGUGUUAUUGCUAAGCAUUGUUUAGAUUUGUCCUCUAAAAGAUAGUCUGAUGAUUUGUCUUCUCCUGACUCUGCUUCUUUUAUGCAUUCAUCGAUGAUAUCCAUGAAGUAACAUGUAUCUUCUAUUGCAGGUGCUUUCAAGAAUUGGGAAAGAAUGAAUUCAAUUUUCUCUUCACCUACUUCGAAGGUGAGUCGUCCUCGUUUUACGUCUAUGAUUGCACCGGCAGUUGCUAAGAAUGGUCUUCCUAGUAUAAUAGGUGUAGUAUCAUCUUCUCUAAUGUCCAUAAUUGUGAAGUCAGUGGGAAUGUAAAACUGACCUAUGCGUACGGGAACGUUUUCAAGGAUUCCUACAGGAUAUUUGAUGGAACGAUCUGCUAAUUGCACAGACAUUUUGGUCGGUCUUAAUUCUCCCAUUUCCAGUUUCUUACAUAUGGAUAAAGGCAUAACGCUAAUUCCGGCUCCUAAAUCGCAUAAGGCUUUGUCGAUGACAAAUUUUCCUAUGUGACAGGGUAUAGAGAAACUACCCGGAUCCUUGAGUUUAGGGGGCAUGUUUUGGAUUAUAGCGCUACAUUCGGCAGGGAGUGUAACGGUUUCGCUAUCUUCAAGUUUCCUUUUAUUAGAAAGAAUUUCUUUUAAGAAUUUAGCAUAUGAGGGCAUCUGCGUAAUAGCUUCGGUAAACGGAAUUGUAACGUUUAAUUGUUUAAGGAGAUCAACAAAUUUUCUAAAUUGGCCUACAUCUUUGGUUUUAACAAGCCUUUGAGGGUAAGGUAUAGGUGGUUUGUAAGGUGGUGGAGGUACAUAAGGUUCCUUCUUUUCUAGGGUUUCCUUAUUACUCUCUUCCUUUUCCUUAGGUUCACUUUCCUCAGUUGAUUUCUUAGGGUUUUGGUUUUCUAUCCUUGGAUCAGACGGUCCUUCCACUUCCGUUCCACUUCUUAAUAUAAUUGCAUGAGCUUGGCUUCUCGGAUUAGGUUGGGGCUGUCCAGGGAAUGUACCAGUUGGGGCAGCAGUAGGUGCUUGUUGUUGAGCUACUUGAGAUAUUUGUGUUUCUAACAUUUUGUUAUGGGUAGCCAAGGCAUCUACUUUGCUUGCUAGUUGUUUAAGUUGUUCGCCAGUGUGUAUGUUCUGGUUUAAGAAAUCUUUAUUGGUUUGUUGUUGGGAAGCUAUAAAGUUUUCCAUCAUGAUUUCCAAGUUGGAUUUUCUAGGGGUAUUAUUGUUAGGCAUGGAUGGAUUCGGUUUCUGAUAUCCCGGAGGUAUAGAUGGGGCUUGAUUUGGAGACUGUCCAGGUGCGUAUAAAGCAUUAUUACUCUUAUAUGAAAAGUUUGGAUGGUUCUUCCAAUUUGGGUUAUAGGUAUUCGAAUAGGGGCUUCCUUGAGCAUAGUUUACUUGCUCUGCUUGGAUUCCUGUCAAGAGUUGACAGUCCGUAGGAGUGUGGCCUUGGAUUCCACAGACCUCGCAAUUCUGAGUUAUAGCAACCACGGCGGCUGGAGGUGAUACGUUUAAACUUUCAAUUUUCUGGACCAAAGCAUCCACUUUUGCGUUAACGUGAUCAAGGUUACUUAUCUCGUACAUGCCAGUUUUCGUUUGAGGUUUUUCCACCGUUGUUCGUUCGGUUCCCCACUGAUAGUGGUUUUGGGCCAUGCUCUCGAUAAGCUGGUAAGCAUCAGCAUAAGGUUUGUUCAUUAGUGCACCACCUGCAGCGGCGUCUAUUGUUAACCUUGUGUUGUAUAAGAGACCAUUAUAAAAUGUGUGAAUUACUAACCAGUCUUCCAAACCAUGGUGUGGGCAAAGUCUCAUCAUGUCUUUGUAUCUUUCCCAUGCUUCGAAAAGAGACUCGUUGUCUUUCUGUUUAAAUCCGUUUAUCUGGGCUCUUAACAUAGCUGUUUUGCUUGGCGGAAAAUAUCGGGCAAGAAAAACUUUCUUCAACUCGUUCCAUGUGGUGACUGAGUUGGAAGGAAGAGAUUGAAGCCAUCUUCUAGCGCUAUCUCUUAAUGAGAAAGGAAAAAGACGAAGUCGAAUUGCCUCUGAAGUGACACCAUUAGCUUUAACAGUAUCAGCGUAUUGGACAAAUACGGAUAAAUGAAGGUUUGGAUCCUCGGUAGGAUUUCCAGAGAAUUGGUUCUGUUGCACUGCCUGCAACAGUGAAGGUUUGAGUUCAAAGUUGUUUGCUUCGAUUGCGGGUGGAGCAAUACUUGAAUGCGGUUCAUCUUGCGAUGGAGCGGCGUAAUCUCUAAGAGCACGAGCUGGUUCUGCCAUCUCGGGUAUCGAAGGGAAAAUAUUUUUGAAAUCAGGAAGUUCAACAGGAGGGAGAUUGUUUGCAGCACGAUAUUCCCGAAUUCGUCGUAAGACUCGGAGAUAUAGUUCGAUAUCGUUGAUUCGUAAGUAGAACGGCUCGCCUUGUGAGCGAGUGCGUGGCAUACAAAUCAACGAAAGAAAGAAAAAAAAAAAAAAAGCCUUAGUCUCUACAGCGUAACAGAAGAGUUACGAUAUCGACUAAAUAAAAGUCCCCGGCAACGGCGCCAAAAACUUGAUCGCGACUUUAUGAGUCGAAUUUGGGGUACAAACUGCAAGUGCACAGUUCUAUCGCGUAGUUUUAAAAGAUAUCGAUCCCACAGGGACUUAUGAAUCGAUAUACCGUUUUCUAAGGUUACUUCGUAAAGCUAAGGCGGAUAAUACUUUGAUUGUUUGGGGGAAAAGUUAAAACUAAAAUAAGAUCUAAAUUAAAUAUUAAUUAAGCGGAUAUCGGUAUGUAGUUCGUCGUAAUUAGGGAAUCAAUUCUUCGUUGGUUUCUUGGUUUUAAAAUAAAUCUUUUCAGUAGACACUAUUGAUUAAAAGCCUUUUCUCAAACUCUCGCUCUGUUGAAUAAACUAUGAUUUUAUAUUAACGUAGCUGUCACUUAUUAGUUAAGUCCAAAAUCACUUUUUGAAAACAAUAGAAUCCGUAGAAACUCUUUUUAAGAAAACACUAAACGUUUAAACAUCCUUGUCUCAAACUCUCGCUCUGUUGACUUAGAUUAUAUAAUUAAAUUCAAAUGCUUAACUCUCGUCCUCACAUUCAACCUUUAAAAAUACUUUUUGAAAAAGAUUAGAAUUUAAUUAACUCUAAAAAUUGCUUUCGCCCUGAUCUAGAAUUAAUGUCCAAUUUACACUGUCCAGUUAAAAACUCAAACUCUCGUUCUAUUGAUUUUAACUUCUUUAUGUCUUUUACUUUCGUACAAAACCUUGUUAUUAAACCUGUAAAUUGAGACCGUAAAAAGAGUGAUUUUAUUUUUAAAUCUAAUUAAACCAACUUAGUUUUGAUUCCUUCAUUCCGCUUACUCUACAUACCGAUACCUAAAUAAAUUAGCCAGACAUGCUUAACAAAUCUAAAUAAUCAGCAUGCAUAAAUAAUUCCAUCUCAGGCAAAUAAUAUAAAUAAACAGUAAAGCAGAGCAUAUAUAAAUUCAAACAAUGAUUAAAGAACCUGAAUAAUUUAUAGCAAUCUUGUACACUCUACCACAGACCGGUUGGAUUUGUUCUUGAAUUCUUCAAUCGGACAGGAAAAUAAAAGUGAAGGAAUAAAAAUCUAGGGUCUAACGUAAGGUUAGAUCUAGUAAAAUAUACACAAUAGUUUCCGGUGUAGAAACUAUUGUGCGAAAAAUUAAUUAAGUACUGAAAGAUUAACUGGAAAGGAAAGUAAAAAUAAGAAUUGCAAUUAAAAGCAAAAAACAGUAAAGGAAAAAUAAUGGUAUGCUUGCACGGCUGGAAGAAGAAAAAUUGAACGAAGCGGAGAGUCCCGCAGGGUUUGCCAAAAGCUACUAUUUAUAUUGGUCACUUGUUGUAACUGUUUCCAAAGGUCUUCCGUGUAAAGAGUCUUCACGUUGCAAAUGGUCAAGCGUAACAAUAGGCCUCAACGUCUUUGUUGCGCUUCUGAAGCCAAAAAUAUAGGGGAAUGGUGUGACGUCCGUCACACCAUGUGUUACGCUCGUAACACAAGUAGGUAGGGCGUGACGCUCGUCACAGCUUGUGUGACGCUCGUCACGGGCGCAGCGCCUUGCUUUUGGGCUGGGCUUUGGCUUGGUGGAAUUUGCUUCUUUUCAUUUCUUUUUGCACCUCCUUUUCUUCCUUUUUCACUUGUGCUUCAAAUAAGCUACCUGAGAUAAAUAGAAAGAAAAUACCGAGUAAUAUCGAAUAAAAUGAAGUAAAUUGAAGUAAAUAAUAAUAUAAUUUAAUUAAAUCGAGUCCUAGAAUGUGAUAUUAUUUCAUGUUAUCAAACUCCCCCAUACUUAGACCUUUGCUUGUCCUCAAGCAAAAUACAGUAUAGAACUCGUUUUAAAAAUUUAGCCAGAUGAAAUUUCAAAACACACAUCAAUUCGUACUAGGUUGCAAGUAGAUUUUGUUUAGAAGCAACUUGAAUUUAAUCUCGACAUCAAGAACUACCGUUACCACAUCUGAUAAUCUUACCUCAUGCAAACCAGUUCGAGUCAUGCUAUUAUAGCUAGCCUGGUUCUUUUACUCUUAUUUCACCCGUUUUCAUUCUAGCGAAAUCACAUUAAGCCCUUUAUCGUUUCGCGCACAUAGUGGAGUGACCGGUUAGUGAUUCUGAUCCCCUUUUUAGCUUGAAGCUCUGGUACAUGAGUCGGAUAACUUCGUUAUUUAGUCCAUUGCGAAUUGCGGGGGAUCGGACCGUAGUCCUCCCUACCAAGUUCAGUACCAGAUACCUGCUGAACCAACUCAUAAUGGGUCUUUCGUAUUAUGUUUUUGUAUGAUCUGCAACCUUUAGAUUAAAUGAUCUGGUAAGGAUCACCUAACUUAAUUAGUGCAUUUCCUGAUAUAUAUAUAUAUAUAUNUCACGGGCGCAGCGCCUUGCUUUUGGGCUGGGCUUUGGCUUGGUGGAAUUUGCUUCUUUUCAUUUCUUUUUGCACCUCCUUUUCUUCCUUUUUCACUUGUGCUUCAAAUAAGCUACCUGAGAUAAAUAGAAAGAAAAUACCGAGUAAUAUCGAAUAAAAUGAAGUAAAUUGAAGUAAAUAAUAAUAUAAUUUAAUUAAAUCGAGUCCUAGAAUGUGAUAUUAUUUCAUGUUAUCAUCACUGACUCUAGUAAAGGAAAUGAUGCUUACGUCGAAAGCACGACGGUCAUCAAUCCCCUUAAAAGAAUCUACCACUAAGUGAGGUUCUCAUAUGACCCUAACGAGGAAGGCACCUCGCGGACCAAUACUACUCAACCAACUCUCAGACUCGGGUAGAGAGUCUUUCAGACAAGGUUUUCUUUGCAAUCAUUAUUGCUUCCAAAAUUUCUUCGUCACGGGAACAAAGAUUUUUGGCUAAAUAUUAGAUAGUGGCAACCAUGAUGUUCCACGUAUCGUUUAACGUUGUUUCCCUCUAUGGUACAAAUCCCAUUUUUCCUAUGGAUUCCAAUAUACCUCGACCUUUGGUUUCAAAUUACACCUCUUCAGUCACUCGUUACCAAACCUUCAUUUCUGUGACUUUGGUCAUUUUAUUCCAUUCAUUUCCAUUAUACAUUCGUAUUCUACCUUCAUUUCACUCCAUGUGAUAUACCUAUUAUCUUUGAGCCAAAUACAAUACCUCUUUGUGCUCCGUCUUGCAUCACCUUAUGAACCAAGAGAUGUUUGGACCAUUCCCAAACACUUAUUUCUUCGUAUUUUUGGUAUUACCCUGUAGCGGAAACCAUGCUAGCCCACGUAUUGGUAAGAGCCAGAUUUACUCUUAGGUUCAGUUUCACCCCUUGUUGGAGUUCAAAUCACAUUAUUCUUUGGUUCAGACCAUACUGUUAUCACAAUUCUCUUCACCUCCUACCACUAGUUCUAUGAACUACAGAGCUCUGAAUUCCUUAUUGCACUAUAAAGAUACAUAGACAUGAGAGCCCUAAUCCUCACUGAGCACUUUAUCUAUUUCUUUCCUUUUCCCAUUCUUUUACGAGUAAUCUUUAGAUAUCACACCCAUUCGAGCGAGAACAAUAAAAACGGUUCCCAUGGAGUACCAUGGAUGUUUGGGGUGCUAAUACCUCCCCCUUGCAUAACCGACUUCCUUACCCAACAUGUCUCUUCCCCCCGAUUUUUAGCGAUGUUUUCCCUUUCCUUCGGGAAUAAAUGAAGUUCGAUGGAGACUCUGUUGUAUGUUCGAGCGUGUGAUAUGUUCAGGUAUAUUUCUGCUAGCUCCAGUUGGCGACUCUAAUGGGGAUGCUUCGUUGCUUGGAGUACUUCCUAGUCGCUAAAAGGAGUCAAGCCUAGUUUUGAUUGUUUCUCUGUUUGCUUGGGUGUUUACCUUUAUGUUUUGCUCGCUUUAUUUAUGGCAUUUCUUAUUACUUUAAAUAGUAUCAUGGAUAUUAUCUGUUAUACUCCCUAUUGUGUUUGGGAUAGAUUACAUGAGAGAAAAGCUCUAUACUCGAGCUUGAGUACAUACACAGGAUAGAAAUGUGACUAGAGUCGUGUUUGACCUCCUUGGAGUUAUUAUGUGAUUAUGGUUGACACGAGACGUCACACCUAGAGUAGAUCCUUUUGGGAGCAUCAAUAUCCGACGAGUCAUUCUUCUAAGGCUUUGGUAUCUCGAAAUGGGUCAUUGACUCUAGGAACGUUUUAGGUUGCCUUUUAAAGACUAGAACCUACCCGUGAGGGGGAUAUGGGAUUUUUCUGCAGGAAAACAUAGACUCUUCAUACCUCUAUUCUCAUGGACGUUGGACCUUUGAUCCUGCAUCAGGCAGUAUACAUAGAUUAUCCAGACUAUUGGUGUUGUUAACCUAUGUUAUUGCAUUGUUUGACAUAUGUCGGAGCUUUGAACUUAGGUUGAUAUUCCAUUAAGUCUUUGAAUUUCUGGAUGCUGCAUAAUUAUUUGCAUUUCAUUCCCAACAUAUGCAUUCAUUCAUUUGCAUUUCAUGCAUGUUAACCAGAAAACCCACCCUAUAUAUUCCUCCGUCAGAAAGAGAACGAUUCGCUGGCACAAAUCAUCCAAGGAUCAUGGAAGAGCCUAAGAGCAUUAAUUGAGCUGACAUGGUUUUGGGGUUAUUCUUGGAUAACAUGACAACGGACUUCCUAAAUCAGGUUGUGAUUGAUGAGCAAGUUGAAGAUCGUCUAAAGAAAGACAACAAACAGAAGGUGGCUGCAAGCAUUCUGCCACUUCUUCCUCAAGAGCAACGUUUACUACCACAUCAUAGGCCUGCUCAAAGCAACCAUAAAUUGAAGCAAAAACAAAUCAGCAAAGGAAAUAAAGAUCAGGAAGGGAGACGUGCUCACAAUGAUCCAAUUCCUAUGAGUUACACACAAUCGCUACCUAUACUAGUUAAUGCUGGGGCAAUUAUGCCUAAAGAAAUCGAGUCUGCUAAGUUUCCUUACCACCAUAAGCAUGACCCUCAUACCACGUGUGGAUACCAUGCUGGAUACGUAGGGCACUAUACAGAAGCUUGUCAUGUUCUCAAGACCAAAGUUCAAGAACUCAUCAAUCGGAAUUUGUUGUGCUUUACACCCAUAACUACUAAGGUGCUUAUUGAGAAGGAGUUUAAAUACAAGGGUCCUCCAAUUCAUGUGCAAAUUCAUCCACCUGUGGUCCAGCCUAUUAUGCAAUAUCCGAAUCAAGGAUACCACCUUGGAAUGUUGUUGGCCUAUCAUGGGGCAUCAUCCUUUAUUAUUGUUGUGCCUCAGUACGCCUAUACUGAGGAAUCCUAUGUCCCAUUUGGGAUUCAUCAUGGUCAUACUUCUCAUCUGAUAGUCAGUCCUGGCUUGGUGCAUUAUGCUCAAAUGUUCCAACCAAUGGCUAUUCCCCAUGUUCAUUCUCUGUCGGAGAUACCUUUGAUGCCUAUGCCAUACUACUAAUUCCCACAUGGUGUUACAUCCCAAUAUCAGCAGCCUCCUCAGGCUCAAGCUCUAAAAAGUCGAUAAAUUAUACCACGUAACCAUCAAGGGCAAAAACAGACCAGACAGUUUGAAAGAAAAUGUCUUCAACGUGAUCAGAUCCAUAUGCUUAGGUGCUACCUUACCUUGUCCAGAAAGGACUCAUUGAGACGAGAGAGAUUCUGUUGCCACUUUCCCAUAUCAUGCAAAGCACAAUCCCAAUGCCUCGUGCGCCUUCCAUGCCGGACAUAUAGGAAAUUCUACCGAGGAUUGUUGGCCUCUCCAAUCAAGAGUAUAAGAGAUAAUUGAUCAGAAGGUUUUUUCAUUCUCUGAGGCAGGACCUAAUGUCGUAGCCAACCCGUUGCCAAACCAAUAUGGACAAGUUAUAAAUGCAGUUAAUGGUAGAGAUCACUCGGAUUCAAUUGCUUUUUCAGAGGAGUAUCAAGGCUAGAAAUAUCAUAGUUGUAAUCUUUUCUUGUUUGUUAUAUGUUGUUCACUUGUAAAACUUUUCUGGUUUUCAGAUGAUAAUAAUAAUGAAAUAAACGUGCAUGUUUUUCUUAAAUCCAUUCGUGUUCACUCAUAUUUCAUUUUAUCAGUAUCAAAUUGUUUAUCAAAUAAAAUCAAAAGAGAAUAAUGCAAUUAAAAUACGCAAGAUCGUUGUCGUAUGCUUUUGAAUAAAAUUGUGCUGAUGAUGUAAGGCAUUGUUCAAUCCCUAAACACCGGAGGUAUAAGGAAGAUAAUCCUCAUUCAACCCCUUUGGGCCUUGAAGUAGGAGUUUCUUUCUUUAUACAUAAAACCGUCACAUUUAACCAGGGAUAGGGUAGUCUUCAGUUAGUUUGAACUUGCAUUCAAAAUUCAAAAGGAGAAUAUCUUAUUAAGUGAUCAAUCAUAUCAAAUCCCUCUCAAGAGGAUGGAAUCACAAAUUCAGAAUGGUUAUCCCUUACCAUAAAAGGAGUGAGAUAGUCACAACCCGUGCAACAAAUCGAGAAAGCAGUAUCACAGGAUUUGCUCCAAUAUAAAAAGAAAAGAUGAAAUGAAAAAAUCAAAAGCAAAUGAAAAAGCCCGCUAAGUCAAAAGCUUGAAAGUAAGAUGGACUUAGGAAAAAGUUAGGGUAUCCCGAUGGGCUGCAGACCCAAAGGAUCAACCCAGGCAAAAUAAGGGAAAGUAAAACAAAAGAGCAAGAGGAUCAAUAUCAAAUUCCUCAGCAAAAGUAAAUCUCUGUGACUGCAAACAAAAGCAGAAGGUGAGUGACUAUCGCUCCAAGAUCUCAUUGGGUUCCAUAACCAUAUAUGAUACUAUCCAAAAUCCUUUUUUGAAAGAUGAACGCUUGUUGUAAGCUAAUUGAACAUAGGACUGGAGAACAUCACAGAGAAUGAGUGGGUUAGAAUAGGUUUUGAGCCUCAUAUCAUUUCUUUCUAAAACCGUGAAUCAGACUACGUUAUAACCCUCAAAAGACCUAAUUGAAGCAGGGUCUAUUUCGAAACCAUACUAUGGUAAGAUCACAUUAAUAUGACUUCUAAAGAUUUGCUUGUCAUAUGUAUUGAUACUGAUAUGGCAUGUUAAUCAGUAGGUCAUUGACUAUAUGUCAUAAUUUUAGUGAACACACUUGAGUUCAAAAACAUGCAUGAGCAUGACAUUACAAUUAUCAUUUUCAAAAUGAGAAUUUUACAUGUGAACGGUCAUUUGACAUCAAGGAAGCUUACUUAAUGGGAAGACUGAACAAUUUCUUGAUAUCCCAUAGCUCAGAUCUCUUCAAGAGUCAGUCAAUCUGGGGCAACCGCGUCGAGAUUCUACAAAUCUCUCUGAAUUAGCCGGAUAUGGGCAAAGUUACUCCAAAGCUCAAGAGCACGAGAAGUCAACCAUUCCCAAGAAUGGUUAAUCAAGAGGAUAUAAUUUCAAGACGCUGGGGUAAGUCAGUUUGAGAUACUCAGAUAAUGAGACUACAAUAACCUAUGAUUGGGGCAGUUGGUGCAGAUACCCAGUAUAUUGGGGCAGAGGCAGACUAUGGAGGUACAAGCUCUCUCCAUGUUUCAGACAUAACCCAUAGAUGUGACAACGACUUUUGAGAUUGAAGUAGGUGUUAGAGAAUAAUGUUUGUUUGACCCUUUUUCCUAGCCCAAAAUUCCCACCGCCCUCUAUAUAAGCCCUUGGUUUAACCAUUCCAUAAGUCAUCUCCAUGUAUAAAUCAUGUCGUUUCGCUCAUGCAUAUCACUCAUAUAACAUAACAUGAAACCUUGCAAAUGAAAAAGCAAAACAAGAAUCUAGUUAUUGACUCACCCAAAGCCCAAUCUUUGCUUGGGAAACUAUAAAACUCUCAUCUAUAUCUCAUCCUUUCUCAACGGGAAAAUUUUCGAAUAUUUUGUAUUUAAUUCUCAUCUACCUUGAACACCCGAGAAGCUUUCACAAUUCACGCAUUCAGGUCCAAGAUGAUUAAAUAAGGGCAGCUGUCAUACCCCAAAAUUUGCCCUACUUUUUUCACUAGGCUAAUGGCUUUGUUCAUCUACAUGAAUUUAGGAAGAAAGGCUAAACCAUAGAUGAGUAGAACAAAGAUAGCCUCAAAAGCAUCCAUGCUACCGGCUUGAGCAAAAACAGUAGCCCUACCAAUGAGAAACUCAGAAGUCAACCCAAGAAUUCCUCCUUCCUUCACCAAAUGAGCAUCAAUCUCAUAUUUCUUCAGAUGAAGAGCUUCAACUAUGAUAUGAGAUCUUGGGAUCUCCUCCAAUCCACUGAAAGGUACCUUGUCAGAU